RNAcentral lists this long non-coding RNA (48019 nucleotides) under Homo sapiens (human). Lineage: Eukaryota; Metazoa; Chordata; Mammalia; Primates; Hominidae. The record is from RNAcentral.
AUAUCACCUGCUCACCACCAGCACGUCGCUCUCUUGUUCGUUUCGCUCCCUUGUUCGUUUGCUUUUGCUCUUCCUCUCUUUCACUGCCUAUUUUUCUGUUUCUUUGUAUGUGUGUACUUUGUUUGUUUUCUUUUUCUCCUGUCUCUUCCUCUCCUCCUUUAUCAAUUGUUUCCCCCUCCCUCUUUGUCUCUUUCUUUGACUUUCUUCUUUUAAAAAAAUAUAACUAGCCCUGCCCCUGCCCCUGCCCCUGCCCCUGCCCCUGCCUCUGCCUCUCCCUCUCCCCUCUCCCCUCUCCCCUCUCCCCUCUCCCUCUCGGUCUCCCUCUCCCUCUCUUUCCACGGUCUCCCUCUGAUGCCGAGCCGAAGCUGGACUGUACUGCCUCUGCCUCUGCCUCUCCCUCUCCCCUCUCCCCUCUCCCCUCUCCCUCUCGGUCUCCCUCUCCCUCUCUUUCCACGGUCUCCCUCUGAUGCUGAGCCGAAGCUGGACUGUACUGCUGCCAUCUCGGCUCACUGCAACCUCCCUGCCUGAUUCUCCUGCCUCAGCCUGCCGAGUGCCUGCAAUUGCAGGCGCGCGCCACCACGCCUGACUGGUUUUCAUACUUUUUUAGUGGAGACGGGGUUUCGCUGUGUUGGCCGGGCUGGUCUCCAGCUCCUAACCGCGAGUGAUCCGCCAGCCUUGGCCUCCCGAGGUGCCGGGAUUGCAGACGGAGUCUGGUUCACUCAGUGCUCAAUGGUGCCCAGGCUGGAGUGCAGUGGCGUGAUCUCAGCUCGCUACAACCUCCAUCUCCCAGCCGCCUGCCUUGGCCUCCCAAAGUGCCAAGAUUGCAGCCUCUGCCUGGCCACCACCCCGUCUGGGAAGUAAGGAGCGUCUCUGCCUGGCCGCCCAUCGUCUGGGACGUGAGGAGCCCCUCUGCCUGGCUGCCCAGUCUGGAAAGUGAGGAGCGUCUCUGCCCGGCCGCCAUCCCAUCUAGGAAGUGAGGAGCGCCUCUUCCCGGCAGCCAUCCCAUCUGGGAAGUGAGGAGCGUCUCUGCCCGGCCGCCCAUCGUCUGAGAUGUGGGGAGCGCCUCUGCCCCGCCGCCCCGUCUGGGAUGUGAGGAGCGCCUCUGCCCGGCGGCGACCCCGUCUGGGAGCUGUACCUGGGACUAGAAGCAUCAGCAGUUAUUCAUCAGCAAGAAAGAAGGACAAUUACAUUCCUUGGGACUGCCUGGACACUAUUCUCAUGGAGAGUAAUUUCUGCCUACUAAAAGAGAUGGAGUUUCACUCUUCUUGCCCAGACUGGAAUGCAGUGGCCCAGACUGGAAUGCAGUGGCACAAUCUUGGCUCACUGCAACCUCCGCCUUCUGGGUUCAAGCGAUUCUCCUGCCUCAGCGUCCUGAGUAGCUGGGAUUACAGGCAUGCACCGCCAUGCCCGGCUAAUUUUGUAUUUUUACUAGAGAUGGGGGUUUCUCCAUGUUGGUCAGGAUGGUCUCGAACUCCCAACCUGAGGUGAUUCAUCUGCCUCGGCCUCCCAAAGUGCUGGGAUUACAGGCAUGAGCCACCACACCCGGCCUUUAAGGUCACAUUUUGAGGUACUAAGGGCUAGGGCUUCAGAAACAUAUCUUUUUUAGGAGGACACAAUUAAGCCCAUAACACUAAGCCUCAAAGAUAACAGAUGAGAAACACAAUAUAGAAAAGAAGAACUUAAAUGAAAUCUCAAGUGUCAUUAUCAUGAAAUGCAUUGGCCAUGCCUGGUGUAGGACCUGAUUGUCUCCCUCCUUAUGUCCAACCUGCUACCAUGUUUCUGGGGCCAGCUCAUCUCCUUGGAUGGAAAUCUGAUCAUGCACAUUCCUUCCUUCCUGUGAUAGUUAAUUUUAUAUGUCAAAUUGACUGUGCCACUGGGUGCCCAGAUAUUUGGCCAAACAUUUUUCCAGGUGUUUCUGUAAGGAUAUUUGUGGAGAAGAUUAAUAUUUAAAUCUCAUCUUGGUAAAGCAGAUUGCCUUCCAUUAUAUGCAUGGGGCUUAUCCUAUCAAUUGAAGGCCUGAAUAGAACAAAAGCUGAUCCUUCUUUGAGUAAGAGAGAAUUCUUUUGCUUGACAAACCUUCAAACAUGGACAUCAUUUCUUCCUGGCUCUACAGUAGCUUCCAGCUUUGAGGCUCAAACUGGCACAUCAGCUCUGCAGAUUUUGUACUUCUUAGCCUUCAUAAUCAUGUGAACCAAUUCCUUAUAAUAAGUCAAUCCCUCUCUCUCUCUCUCUGUCUCUCUCUCUCUCUUUCUCUGUACUCUCUCUGUCUCUGUUUUUCUGGAAACCCUAGUAUACAGUCUAAGACCAGGUCUCACUUAAUGAAGAAAAAUCACAAACCAUAUCAGCAUCCUUUCAGGAUUACAACUUAAGAGCCCCAGAGCAAGCUCUUUAUCUUACUAGAAACAAUACUCAACUUCCCUAAUCUGAAGCCCCUAUGUCUGGGUUAUUCCUCUGGGUUUCAGUCAUAAAGAUGACUGAAAUCUGCCCCCCUAUCCCCACUGAUCUCUCUUGAGAAUAAAGCAAGAGCCUGUCCCAAAGUCAAGUCCAGCUGCUAAUCUUAGUGCAAUCAUGGAUUGGAAAAUACUGAGAUCUGAACUCAGAGCACUCUGCUACAUGCACAAAACUUUUCACAUCUUCGCAACAUUUCAAACCUUUGUGGACUUUCUCAAAUUUUCCCUAUCUAAUUUCAUUUAGGGCUUUUCAUUUCCUUCACCAAUUGUCUGGUAAUUCCUUUACUAACUGCCAGUUAGGUAAUUACCCAAAUUUCUAACUACAUCCCUUAGAGCACAGCAUUUCUAUGCUUAUCCAUGUUGAUACUUUUAAAAAUCUAGAUCUAGUUUCCAACAUGCAGACAGCCCAGGCACAGAAGCCAACCAGACAAUUCCUUUACCAACGGUUUUUUAUAGCUCAAUAAUGUAUACAUGUGACUUUGUAAAGAAUUAGCCUUGUCUACUUAAGGCUCAAUACAAAACCUUCCAAAGUUUUCACAGAUUAACCAAAUUAGUCUUGAAAAAUAUCUCCAGGUUAGAAGAGGGUAAACCACUCUCCCUGACUCUGCAGCCUCACUCUCAUCCCUACUUUGGGUUUCUGCUUUCCAGAUUCUCUUAUGUCACCACAUCACCUAUUCACCCCUCCCCCAAAGCGGUAUGAUUCUCCUUUAAAAAUUUUAAUGUGUACAAAAAUGUUUUCCCUUGGCAUAACUGAGACAGGCUGGUAUUUUCAAGAACAGCUUUACUAAACAUGAGGGAAAACAGAAAAGAAAUAAUUACAGAAAACAUACACAGUAUAAAAAUAGCCAAGUUUCCAACUGCAGGUUUCUGUUUCUAAAAAUUCCAUUUGAAGUAGGAACGCUUUACUGGGCCUCAAUCUCAUUUACCCUUAGUCAACCACAUCCCUUAAUUUUGCUGUAUCCUGUCUGGACUCCUUCUCCCCUUCCACCAACACCUCACCCUUCCCUGAGCCCUGUGAUCUUGAGCCACUAUCUCUGUUUUUUGAACCCACAUCUCCAAGAAAAAACACCCAAGAACUUACUUUUAAAACUAAACUUACUUUUUAUUCUCUUAAUUAAAAAUAUCCUGGACUCACAAAGAGCUGCCAAAUUGCUAGCUUACAAGAGAUUUUCAAGUUUUGAUGUUUAAGAUUUACUGGGUUUCAAAUAUUAGCCCUUCUCAAUACUGAAGUUAAACCAGCAUAAACCAAAGUGUAAUCUAGGAAAUGAUCCUUGGGAUAACAAAUAUUCUUUACAAAGGCAGGUAGUAUUCUAUAAUCAAAAAAAAUCUGAGGAAUUCUGGGUUAAACAAAGUUUCAUAGUUUUCUCCAUUGCAUAAUUUCUCAAACCAUUCCAUGCAGUUAACAAAUAUUUACUGAGCACCUAUAUUGUGCUAGGCACUACUGUAGGUACUGAGGAUUCCCUGGUGAAGAGCGAACAGGACAGAUAAAAUCCUUGCCCUGCCCUCAUGGAAUUUGCCUUGUAGGUGGGGUUCACCAGAAAAUAUGAACAAACAAACAAGAGCAUUUCAAAUCGUGGUAUGGACUUUGAAGACCUUAAGGGGUAAGGUUAUAAGGGUAUAACUGGAAGUGGGGAAGCCCAGGAGGCAGAGGAAACAGUGAGUCUAAAGACCUGGCAGGAAAAAGCUUGGCCUGUUGGAAGAAGAGAAAGGAGCUUCUGUGGUUGGAGCUGAAUAAUUAAGGUGGGGAGUAGAAGUGAUGAGGUAUGAUCUUAGAGAAGUAAGAUGUUGUUGGUGCAAUGGAAAGCAAUUUGGAAGGUUUUAAGCCUUGGCAUGAUUUGACUUACCAUUUGAAAAAGAAAAAUUCCUUGCAUGUUGUGUGGAGAAUGAAAUUUAGAGGCUAAGAUUACAAGUGGAAACCAGUUAGGCUCUUGCAAUAGUUCCUUUGAGAGAUGGCAGGAGUGUCAGUGCAGAUAGAGAGAAGUGAAUGGCUUCAGCACAUGUUUGAGGCGUAGUGACAACAAGACUUCCUGAUGAGUUAAUGUGAGAAAUAGAGAUCAGAGAGAAGACACUAAUGACUUUCAGCUUUGGGGCUUGAGCACUUACAUAUAUGUUGGUGGUAUUGACUGAGCCAAGAGAGACUAGGAAGCAGAGGCUUAAAGGGGUGAAGGAAAUGAAGCCUUAUCCAUGAUAAGUUCAAGAUACCUAUUUAGGUUGGUGCUAAAGUAUGGUGGUUUUUGUCAUUGAAAGUAGUGGCAUAAUACAUGUGUAAGAGGUGCUAUCAAGUAGAUAAAUUUUAUAUAUAUAUAAAACAUAAGAAAAUAAGUAAUAUAUAUGAUAAUUUAUAAUAAUAAUAUAUAUAUGAGUCUGGAGUUUAGGGGAAAGGUUUGAGAUAUAUGUUGAGAAAUCAUCAGCAUACAGAUGGCAUUUAAAGUCAUGGAACUGGGGUCGGGCGUGAUGGUGCAUGCCUGUAAUCCCAGCACUUUGGGAAGUCAAGGUGGGUGGAUUGCUAGAGGACUGGAGUUCGAGACCAGCCUGGCCAACAUGGCAAAACCCCAUCUCUACUAAAAAUACAAAAAUCAGCCAGGUGCGGUGGUGCACACCUGUAAUCCCAGCUACUCAGGAGGCUGAGGCAUGGGAAUUACUUGAACCCAGGGGGCGGAGGUUGCAGUGAGCUGAAAUUGCGCCACUACAUUCCAGCCUGGGUGACACAGUGAGACACUCUCAAAUAAGCCCAAAGAAACAAAGUCACAGAACUGGAUGAGACCACCUAGGGAGACAGCAGAAAGGAGCCAAGGCCCAAAUUUAGAAAUCUGGUACAGACAGGAACCAACAGAGGACCACUUUUAACAUGUUCGUGGGCAUUAUGACUCUAUAAGAGGUGGAAACAGAAGGCAGCAUUUCCCUAACUUUUUUGACUUUGAAACCUUUCAUCAUGUAGCAUGUCACAGGACUAGGGUUUUAAGGAAAACAUUUUGGAAAAUAUUGCUCAUACCCUUCUAGUUACACUCCAUUAUGGCAUUAUGUAUUAAUUUCUAAGGUAACACAGGCUUUCUCUCUAGGUAGAGAGGUAUUUCCAUAAAACUUCAUCUAUCCCUAAACCAAACACUGUCCGGAGGAUCCAAGCCCCAAAAUAUACCUAUAGGAAGCACACAUGUGCCAAAUGCAGUGAGCGGCAAGGAGGGCUGUCUCACCACAGCCUUGUUGAGCCCAACCUCAAAUGCUGCCAGAUUUUAGCCUUUUUUUUUUCUUCAUAUUUCUAAUAGUAUUUUGGUGGAGGAGUAAGAUUGAAGGUCUGGAGAGAGGCCCUGGGAGUAAAUUGUCCUUUUCUCUGGUGAUGUAUGUAAUAUUGUUCAGGGUACUAGCAUUUGGGUGUUUCCACCUAUAUACACUAUAUCAGAGUGUCAGAGUGUCACUUGAUGCUCUAGAAAGAAUUAAAGUUUUUUUUUCUAUUUUCUAAUGAAUGAGGUUUUUGUUUGUUUUGUUUUUGUUUUUUUGUUUUGGUUAUAAGGAAUAGAAACUCACUCAGAGGCCCCAUAAGUAAAAAAUGUAUGAGGGAAAUACUGAAAGGGAAUUUAUCUGGUGAUAGGAAGUUAGAAUCUGAGGCAGCCGUAGGGAUAGGUUUCUCUCCAGGACAAGUCUUCUCUUUUUCUCUCUCUCUCCGUCUCUUUCUCUCUCUCUCUCUCUCUCUCUCUCUCUCUCUCUCACACACACACACACACACACACACACACGCACACGCACGCAAAUUCACAAAGACUCAGAGGCUGCAUGGUCUUUCAUGGUACCUCUGAGACCUCUCACAUUUUAUAGUUAUACACUAAGAAAUCAUAAUAAAAUCUUCUAUGUUUGCAUACCACAAUCUAAGUAAGUCUUGAAGAUUUGCUUUGUAAACAAGGAGACCAAGGCCCAGGGAGAAGACACCACCCAGUGAAAGGAGCCCUAGUUGGGUUUAGUAAAUUUGAAUUCUGCUCCUGUGUGACUGUAGGCAGGUGGCUUCAUCUGGGUUCAAAUUCCUCUUCUGAAAGGGAAGUGACUGGAUAGAGAUAGGUGAUCUUCAAGAUGCAUUCCACAGUAUAACAUGGCUGUGGUCAUACAGCUGGUGGAUUAUGGCCAAGUAAGAAUCACAUCUCCUGUUACCUGGUCUAGUGUUGUGAUUUGUUUCAUUACACUAUACUGCAUUUUCAUUUUUAAAUGUUUUUUUAAAAUCUCAACCCAUUUUUUUUCUCAUCUGUUUGGAUUGCUGUGAAAACACUUUUAAGAAGGCAGUAUGGUACUGUGAAAAAAGUGUAAGCGUUGAAACCAAAGAGAUGGAUUUGGAUCUAGGUUUACUGUCAGCUCUGUAAUUUUAGAGCAGUUACUUAACCUCUUCCUCAGCCUCAGUUCCAUCAUCUGUAAGACAGGUGUAUAUAAUACGUGCCUUGUAGGCUUGUUGAUGAGAUUAAAUAAGAUUGUGUCUAUAAAGCAUCAAAGAUAGUAUGUAUAAACAUUCCAUCUCACAUUUUACAUCUCCAUGCCUCUUAAUUAUUUAGGGAGAUGAGGAAUUACAGCAAAUCAUUUACGAACCAAGAUGAGGACGAGGCAAGCGAUAGCUUUAUUGUCUGCAUAAGUAAUAUUUAUCAGAGAAAUAUUUUAGGUUAAUUUUUCUGUUCAAACAUUUUCAAAAUAUCAGUCCAUGUUCCUUCUUAAGAAAGCACACACACAAUCUUUAGAAAGAUUAUAACUGAAUCUUUGUUGAUUAUUGAAGAUCUUGCUGUGCCUUGGGCUUAUUAUUUCAAACUUGAAUUCGUAUCAUUCAACUGCCUUGGAAAAACGUGCAGAAGGUACAAAACUUAGUUGGAAUGUGUUAAACUCAGGAAAUCUAGAAUUUUGUUGUUUGUUUUGAAUUGAAAUUCUUGUUAACAAUUUCUCUGUGGUUCAGACUUCUAAAUAGUACAAACAUUCCAUUUAUAGUUGAGGAUCUUGGGUACUGUGUUCUGGUUAAACAAAUGAUCCACAGAAUUUUUUUUUUUGAAUGCCUACUUUGUUGAAGGACCUGAACCAGACACCAUUUUGGACAUGAGGAAAUAUUAAAAUUAAUAUGAGGCUUUAAGGAAUGUACACUCUCAUUAAUUAGGCAAAACAUAAACUUAUAAAAAAAAGUAGCUACAACAGAAGUCAAAAAAAUGAGAGAAGGCUUUAUAAAGAAGUCAGUACUUGAAAUGGGACUUGAACCAUGGUAGGAUUUGCACUAGCAGUGCUCAGUGGUAGGAGGAAUGUUUGAUGGAGAAGGAUCUUUAGGGCAGAGGGAAUAGUUUGAAUAAAUGCACGGGGAUGGGAAAGCUUAGGUUAUAUCUAAGAGACUUUAAGUUGUUCAUUUUGGAGAUAAUUAAGGCUAACACAGAUACUUAGUUUUUCUUUUGUUUUUUUAUUAUACUUUAAAUUUUAGGGUACAUGUGCACAACGUGCAGAUUUGUUACAUAUGUAUACAUGUGCCAUGUUGGUGGACAUUCCUAGUUUUUCAUAACAUCUACUGAAUGUACAGAUGUCUUGAAAAGUGUUUCUUAGGCCCCUAGAGUGAUGAGAAACUGAUUUGCUGUGCAUUCUUUCGUACAUUAGUUUAUCUCUGUAGGCUGAUAAUAGGUAGGUCACAAAAGAAAUCAUAGGGCUACCAAUUUGCCUGUUUGUUAGAAGCUAAGAUCCAUUUCUUGGACAUCAGAGAUGUUUGGUACACUCGACAGCCUUCCCAGGUUCCAUUCUCCUUUCUAGAAAACCAUUACAGCCAUGGGCUAGGUCCUGAGUUUGGGUAUCCACUGCCCCUCUGUAAACAGCUCAAGCCAGGAACAUGAAGGAGGAGGGCACUAGGUUUCUCUAAUGUUCUUUCCAUUUGCCUCACUUGCCCCUUGUUUGCCAGCCCAAUCCUGUGCCCAUUCUCACCCUUAGAAACAAGGCUACUUAAACACAAGGUCGCGUUCCUCAGAGGGAAAGAUAGCAUUUCACCUAAUGGUCAAUGGACUUACAUAUUCCCUUUAUAAAAGUGGAAAAUGAGAGAAAGCAGGUGGGGGGAAAUCCAUGCAGAACCCUGGUGUUAUGGGACAUCUCUCAACCUACUUUGCUGAAGCUAAUGCUUUCAGCAGAGGUGAAAAAGGCAUGACACAGCAAUGUGUAUUACACAUUGAAGUAUCUGGGCAGUGAGACUCCCAUGAAAAAUUGCUAGAUAGUUACUCUCUUGAACAUUUCUAAGCAUUGGUUGAUUCUGUUGAUAUGGUUUGACUGUGUCCCCACCCAAAUCUCAUCUUGAAUUGUAGCUCCCAUAAUUCCCAUGUACUGUGGGAAGGACCCCACUGGAGGUAAUUGAAUCAUAGAUGUGGGUUUUUCCCAUGCUGUUCUCAUGAUAGUGAAUAAGUCUCAUGAGAACUAAUGAUUUUGUACAUGAGGGUUCCCCUGUGCAAGCUCUCUUGCCUGCUGCCAUGUAAGAUGUGACUUUGGUCCUCAUUUGCCUUGUGCCAUGAUUGUGAGGUCUCCCCAGCCAUGUGCAACUGUAAGUCAAUUAAACCUCUUUCCUUUAUAAAUUACCCAGUCUCAGGUAUGUCUUUAUUAGGAGCAUGAGAACAGACUAAUUCACUGUUAAGUAGAGAAAAUUGAGAUUCUCAAACUUGGCUUUCUAUAUGUAAAGCAAGUCUAUGCCAAGGAACAUGGCAGUUUUGUGUUUUAAAGAAGCAAAUCUUUCAUCAGGGACACCUAAUGAGGAAGGUUCUCUUCUUGUCUUCUUUUUUUGUUGCUGUUAUUUUUCUAUAUCUGGCUUCUUUGUUUCUGCCCUUCACUUUCAACCAUAAUGCACAACUUCUCCCCAUUUAAUGAAAAACUCCUUUCCUAACAUAGUACAGCGUCAGAGUGGUAGAGCUGGGAGGGAACUUAGACAUUAUUGAAGUCACCCUUGACUUUUGAGAUAAGGAAAAUAAGCCCCAGAGAGAUAAAAUGAUUUUCUGACUGUAGGAGUGGUAGGGAUAGACAUGAAUGGUGGGAAGUUAUAAAAUAAUUCACAGAGUGUUUUAUGGUUUACAGAGUGUUAUUACUUAUGUGAUUGCACAUGAUCUCAUAACACCUGUGAUGUAGGUGAUAUUAUUAUGUCCAUUUUACAGGUGAGGAAACUGAGACCCACAGCAUUUUCCUAUAAGGGGAAAGAGUAUAUAUUUUUCAUCAGGGAAACUGCUCAUGGCAAAGCCUAGUGACUGUGAAGUGCCAAACCCUGUUCUGAAGGGCUAGGCAUACAAAGAUUAAUAAUGACUGCCCCUGCACUCAUAUCUGUUAGGAAGAGGUUGUUGGUCUCCCCAAAGGCCACACACGGGCACCCUAAUGCUGUCAAAAAUUAACUGAACUCUAGUGGAACUGCAUCUGGUACAGCCAUUUGACUCCCUCUAAGCGUGGCCAUGUAGAAACUUUGGACAGGGCAACUCUUCUAAAGAGGAACCUACACUUUAAACUGUAUAAAAUUGAGAGUCUAUGUAAUGUGAAAAGUGAAAAGUGAAUAAAUUAAAGUUGGCUCAAGAUCAUAGAAGCAUUUGGGUUCUAACUGGCAGGGGAAGUUGAGUGGGGAUGAAUUAGGGGCUUUCAGAUCUCUUCUCUUCUCUUUUAUUCUUUUUUGUGAAUAGUCCCCAUCUCUGUGGCCCUACUUUUUCAGAGUAACACUGACAAAUACAUACUCUUUUUGUUUUUCAUUUUUAUUCUUGGUAAAAUAAUCUGAUCAAUAACUGGAUCAUACCUUCAUGGAUGCUGGAAAAUUCUGGAACUUUUGUUUAUCUAAGACAAGGAUCAGCAAACCACUGCCUGUGGGCCAAAUCUGGCUGCUGCCUGUUUUUAUAGGCUUGCAAGUUAAAAAAUCAUAACUGCAUAUAUAUAUGUGUAUAUAUAUAUAUAUAUAUACACACACACACACACACAUAUAUUUAUUUUUAUUUUUAUUUUUAAUUUUUUUGAGACAGAGUCUCACUCUGUUGCCCAGACUGGAGUGCAGUGGCGAGAUCUUGGCUUACUGCAACCUCUGUUUCUUGGGUUCAAGCAAAGAAUAGUUUUUAUAUUUUUUAAUGGUUGAAAACAAUCAAAAUCAGAAAGCUAUUUUUUGAUGUAAAUAUAAUAUUAAUUAAAAUUUCAAUGGCAAAAAGUAAUGUUUUAUGAGAAUGCAGCCACUCUUUUAUUUACAUCUUAUUUAUGCUUUUGUCCCACACAAUGGAUUUUAGUAGCUGCAACAGAGACUACAUGGCCUGCAGAACCUAAAAAUAUUUACAGUCCUGCCCUUUACAGAAAAUCUUUGCCAAUACUUCUCUUACAGCACUAAUCAUACUGUAUUAGAAUUGGUUCUCUCCAUAUCCAUCUCCCCAGCUUGACUUUUGAGCUUAUGGAGGGCGCCUCUUUGCUUAAGAUGAGGCUUUAACUCCUGGUGGGCACUCUAAAUAUUUGUGGGAUGGAAGAGAAAAUGAAUCAAUGAUGUGGGCUUGGCAGAGUCGAUUACCCCUUUGGGGUCUCAGCUUUCUUUUCGUGAAAUGAAAGAGUUGGUUAAGGUGACCUUGGUCCCCAUCUAGCUCUGACAUUCUAUAUUAUAUAUUAAGGUUUCUGUAGCUAAAAAUAAAUAUCACGUUUGGUUCAUUGAACUUCAACUUUGAGUUCUCCCUUGCUGAUCUUCUAACUAUUGGUUGGUUUCCCAGGUCUUUCAGUAUCAUGAAAGGGAUGCCCUUAUGAGCUAGCUUCCCUGGGCAUAUUGUGUUAGUGUAUGUGGUGUGUGCAUUGCAUGUAGUAUAUAAAUAUAUUAUAUUAAGAAAUCAAUAACUUCCUUCUUCAUUUCUGCCUGUCUUGUGUGAGUCUGGUGACAUGAACAAUUUUCGCAGGGUCUGGUCAUUCUUUUUUUUUUUUUUCUUUUUUUUUUUGAGAUGGAGUGUCACUCUUGUUGGCCAGGCUGGAGUGUAAUGGCGUGAUCUCGGCUAACCACAACCUCUGCCUCCCGGGUUCAAGAGAUUCUCCUGCCUCAGCCUCCCGAGUAGCUGGGAUUACAGCAUGCGCCACCACAACCUGCUAAUUUUGUAUUUUUAGUAGAGACGGGGUUUCUCGAUGUUAGUCAGGCUGGUCUCGAACUCCCGACCUCAGGUAAUCCACCCACCUCAGCCUCCCAAAGUGCUGGGAUUACAGGAGUGAGCCACCGUGCCCGGCCGGGCCUGGUCAUUCUUAAGAAUCUGGGGCCAGGCGUUGUGGCUCAUACCUCUAAUCCCAGCACUUUGGAAGGCCAGGAAGGGUGGAUUGCCUGAGCCCAGGAGUUUAAGAUCAGCCUAGGCAACACAGCAAGACCUCAUCUCUACCAAAAAAAAAACAAAAACCCAAAAAUUAGACAGGUAUGGUGGUGUGUGCCUGUAAUCUCAGCUACUUGGGAGGCUGAGGUGGGAGGAUUUCUUGAGCCAGGAGUUCCAGUUUGCAGUGAGCUAUGAUCACACCACUGCACUCCAGCCUAGGUGACAGAGUGAGACUUUGUCUCAAAAAAAAAAAAAAGAAAAGAAAAAAAAUAGAUUUUAUAAUCAAUACCCCUGUAUUUGAAUCAUGACUUUACCUUGUACAAACUGUAACAAGUUAUCUUGUGUAUAUUCAUAUCUCAUGUAUAUAUUAGUAUCUUCAUCCUGUAUAUUUUAAGACAAAUUACUUAAUUUUGAUUUUCAUUUUCCUUAGCUGUCAGAUUGGAUUGAAAAUACCUUCUAGAGCCAGGUGUAGUGGCCUGUGCCUGUAGUCCCAGCUACUCUGGAGACUGAGGUGGGAGGAUCACUUGAGCCCAGGAGUUUGAGGCUGUAGUGAGCUGUGGUCAUGCCGCUGCACUCCAGCCUGGAUGACAGAACGAGAUCCUGUCUCUUAAAAAAAAAAAAAAAGUCUGAAUGUUUGGAGUUCAGAGACCACACACUGGAGUUAUGGCUACUCCCUCACCUCUAUGCAUCCACACAAUAGACUCAGAAAAAAAAAAUCUGCCUUUACUUGGAAAAUCUCACUACUUAGAAAAGCUUACUACUUGGAAAAUCAUGGUAUUUUCAAACCAAACGGAGAUAAAAGUCCUUGUGGAAACUUUACAAGCGCACAGUGUCAUUCCCUGAGGUGGUUCAAAGAACACCUUCAUCAGGCUGGGUGUGGUGGCUCACGCCUAUGAUCCCAGCACUUUGGGAGGCCAAGAUGGGUGGAUGGCUUGAGCUCAGGAGUUCAAGACCAACCCGGGCAACACAGCAAAAACCCGCCUCUGUUAAAAAGAAAAAAAGUAAAACACACAAAAGACAAAGAACACCUUCAUGAGGCAAGGUCAGGGCCAGACAUAACAUCAGUGUGAUUUGAUUUAAACCAUUAUCCUGCACUGUUUCCUCUCAGAAAUGUUAUUGCCUCUCUUCAACCCCAUCAUUGUUAAAAAAUGGACAGAAUCUUAGAACUGAGACAUAUGUGACCUAAGGAAAUGUGCUUGCCUAUAAAUAUGGUCCCAUAAAGUCUGCCUGUACUGAAGCCAAGAGCAGCUCUCAAGCAAUAGACAAAAUUUCUUUUGCGGACUCUUGUUAUUUUUUCUACCCUUUCCUCCCAGGUUUCUAACACUGUUCACUGAUUAUCAUGGGCCUCUGCUAUGAUGCACCCAGUGUGGAAAACAUCUAAGCCUUCAGUUCAGUGUCUCCCUUCCCUUCUCACUACCCUUAAAAGAAGGGUAGUGAGGUAUAGUGGAAAAGAGUAAAGCACUAAGACUCAAAUAAAUCUCACACCCAGCUCCUCCAUUUGUUGAUGGAGCCUCAGUUUCUAUAAUCUACUAACACUUACUAUCUCCUACCUCUGCUAAUCACCCCUGAGUCCCUUACCAGCAAGAACCAUGCAUUAUUUCUUCUUUUUAUCUCAUACUACUUAGUGUAUAGCAUGCAGCAGAGGCUUGACACAUGCCUCUGGAGUAAAAUUGAACCAACUUGACACAUAAUCUUGCAUGGAUCAUGAAAUGUGGAAUGUCUGUGCUAAAAGGAACUCAAAGACCUACCCAGUGCAGUGUCUGCAAACACAAGGCAGUUGCAACCCACUCCCCUCUUCUGUGCUAAAUGGACAGAAAUGACUAAAUAGUCACAAUAUUCUUUCUAGCAGAGAGUCUUUCCUGACCUAAGCUUCACAAUUUUCAAUGGAGCUCCCUUGGAGGCCACUGCUGAAAUUAGCACUGGAGAAAAAAACCUAUGUACCAUUCUGGAUUAAGUAUAACUUGCAUUUUAUAAAUGAAGAAACCCAGACCUAGAUAGGUGAUAUGAUUUGGCCAAGGUCACACAACUAAUUGUAGGGUGAAUUCAAAAUAGAACGUAGCCAGCCCUCCAUAUCCACAGGUUCCAAAUCAGAGGAUUAAACCAAAAACAGAUAAAAAAUAUUUGGAAAAUUUUUUUUGAAAUAACACAAUAACAAAAAAUAAUACAAAUUUAGGCCGGUCGUGGUAGCUCAUGCCUAUAACCCCAGCACUUUGGGAGGCCAAGGUGGGUGGAUCACUUGAGGCCAGGAGUUCGAGACCAGCCUGGCCAACAUGGCAAAACCCUGUGUCUACCAAAAAUACAAAUACUCCUUGGCUUGAAGGCAUUGAGACUUCUGUUAGAAUCCAAAUGUUAAGCUGUGGAUAGAGCACUGGAUGGACAGCAUGGAGACCUAUACAGUCCCUAGGUAUGGGGAGAAUUUCUAGCAAUGACGAAUGUGCUUUUUGGUGGGAGUGGUGGGGUGCUUGGCAGACAGGAGAGCCUUAGAGUAAUGUGGAUACCUUCUUGGUAUUUCAGAAGGCAAGUCAAUUGCUCAGCACACUUUCACUGAAGGCCUCUUCCAGGCACAGAUGCAAGGACUUAGAGGCAUAGAUAGAUAAAACCAGGACUCUGCCCAGGGCUUAUAGACCAAAAAACAAACAUUGUAAAAAAAACCACAAUGAUAAGUGAACUAACAGAGAUAUGCCUAGAGCCUUGCAACGGCAAAAGGACAUGACCACACAUUGCCUAGAGAAGUCAUAGGGAACUUAACUGAGGAAGUAGCUUCUGAGCUGAUUAUUUGAAGAGAAGUCACAGUUUUCCCAGGAAAUUAAGAAGGAAAGAGUGUUCCGUCACAGAGAACUGUGUGUACAAUGGCAAAGGGCUGGAACAGAGUCUGUCAUAUACUGGCAACAACAGAGAGUUCUGUGUGCAAGGAGUUCCAAGUGUGUGAUGAAGGGGGGUGGAAAAGAGAAGGGAAUGAGGGCAAUGUCCAGUGUCAGGAGAGGGAUCUAGAGAGAGAAGCAACACCUGCUUUGAAGGAGUCUACAAAGGCUGAUAAGACAUGCAUAAAUCAUUAUAAUGCAUGGUAGAAUGAUCCAGUGUUUUUCAGAGGAUCAAAGGAUGGAGAGGAGAGCUCAGAGAAGAGAGAGAUGACUUUUCACUGGGAGUUAGGGAUAUAUUACUGAUAAGUCAAGCAGGGUUCAAAUUGAUCCUCUUUUACUAUUGAAAUUCAAGUAGAAGUUAAAAAUCUGUGAUAUGAUUACUUGUGCAAUCGUGUUCUCAUUGGGUCACACCUUUAACUUGAUAGACCUGAUCCUAAGUCCCAACACACCACCCAGUGGGGUGCCCAUUCCCAUUACAUAACAUAUUGGUGUUUUCUUCACUACUCUGUUACCCAUUGCCUACAACAGUGCCUGACACCUGGUAGGUACUGAAUAAAUAUUUGUGGAAUCAGUCUUUUAAAUGAUAUAUUUUUAUUAUGGCAACUACACACUCUAGGUUUUUCCCAGUGUCUUAAAAAGUCUGUCUCCCUUGGGAGGCCGAGGUGGGUGGAUCACGAGGUCAGGAGUUCAAGACCAGCCUGACCAACAUGAUGAAACCCUGUCUCUACUAAAAAUACAAAAAUUAGCUAGGCAUGCUGGCAUGUGCCUGUAAUCCCAGCUGCUCAGGAGUCUGAGGCAGGAGAAUCACUUGAACCCAGGAGGCAGAAGUUGCAGUGAGCCAAGAAAAAAAAAAUAUAUAUAUAUAUAUCUGUCCCUUAGUCGCCAUUAGUACCACUGUAUUUGUCAUGCAUCUGGAUUUCUGACUUAGCUAACACGGUAAGAGAACCCACAGAUACAAUAUAGAAAAGCUUCAUUCUCAGAAACUCUCCCUAUGCGAGCUGGAGUUUUUGGGAGGGAGGUGGGAGAGAAGUGUGGUUUAGUAAGAGCACACCAUUUCCGGGCUGGAGGCCUCAGCCAUUCCCUGCUGCACAGUUAACUGCCCAUGCAGUCUUGGACCAAGGCAUCUUGUUGUCUCGUUCUUUGCCCACUGAACACACAGGCUCUGAGAGUCUUGGAUGGAGGUGGAAAGCAUUCGCAUCUUGAAAAGGAUGUAGUUGGGGCACUUGUGGCCUUGUUUGUUUCUUUCCAGAGCUCUGGCUACUGUAUUGGAAAAGGUAAACUUUCAGAUCUGCAGGGAUGAAAAAGUGUGUUGCUUCACAACUUAGCAUCUACCUGAUACUGCCUGGAAUGUAACAUUUAAUGUGUUUAAUUAUCAUGGUCAAAUGAAUCAUCAGUGAAAAUCAUUAUCAACUAAAUAUGUUCUGUUUUUUUUUAAACAAAAGAUUCCAACUUUGUUUAGUUUUAGGUUCAGAUGCCAAGUUUUUUAAGCUGAGGAAUAGGCUUGCUUUAUAUUCUGACCUUCUACAGUCUCUACCUCUACCUCUCCUUGAAAAUUCUGAAUCCCUUCUGUAUUUAGGAAGUAAUAGAGAAGGCUGUCUUUCCUAAUGGUUUCACCGGCCUCUCAUCAACCGAAACUGAAAGCCUUUGGAAUUCUCUCCACCAUUUCACCACUGCACUCUUGAGUCCUCUUGAUUCUAUCCCCAGAUUAUUCUUACAUGUAUUCCCUCUUGUCCAGCACAUUAAUUGAGGUUCUCAGACUGAGUUAUUCUAACUGCCUUUUAACUAAUCUCUCUGACUCCAAGACCUCAUUAUCAAGCCAGCCUUUGCACUGCUACAAAACUAACCUCCCUAAAACACAGGUUACACUAUGGCCCUCUCUUCCUUUCUGGGCAUAUCCUUAUAACGCAGGGAAUAAAAUACAAAAUUCUAGCAUGCUAUUCAAGGCCACCUCAAGUCUUGACAAUGCUUUGUGAGCCCAACCUCUGGAAAAUGAAAAAUACAUAGAAGAAAAAUAAAUUUAUAAAAUAAGCUGGAUAUAGUUCAUAAAAUCUGUGUCCAAAAAUCUACUGCAAAAAGUGUUUUGUGUGUGUGCAUACAAAUAUAAAUUUAGAUAGAUAGAGAUAUGUAUAUGACACACAAUGUUAUAAAUGGUUAAGAUUUCUAGACAAGCCCAUACAAAUCUAUUUGAUGUAUAAUUUGUAAACAAACUACUGUGCAUGUGCAACAAAAUUACUCUGCAAUGCCGAUAAAUAAAAUAGGAAAACCAUUAAAAUUUAAAAUAAUUUUUAAGAAAUAUAUCUUGACCACUGACCCUUGAGAUGACAAGAUGGACAGAUGACUCCAUUUGUCUUUAUAGCUAACAUUUACACUGUGCUUACAAUAUGCCAGGCCAUAUUCUAAGAGCUUUACAAGCAAUAGCUUUACAAGUAUUUGAUCUCACAACAACCUUAUAAAAUAGAUACUAUUUCUCCAUUUUGUAAACAAGGAAACUGAGGCAUGGGGUAAUUAACUUGCCCAAAGUCACAUGCAAACUGGUAAAGGUGGGAUUUGAAUUCAGACAGCUUGGUUCCGAAGUUACCACUGCUUAAAUUAGCACAGCCAUUAUGGAAAACAGUAUUAAAGUUCCUCAAAAAAUUAAGCAUAGAACUACCAUGUGAUCCAACAAUGUCACUACUAGGUAUAUAUACAAAGGAAAUGAAAUCAGUAAAUUGAAGAGAUAUCUGCACUCCCAUGUUUACUACAGCAUUAUUGACAAUUGCCAAGAUAUGGAAUCAAUCUAAGUGUUCAACAAUGGAUGAAUAUGGAUAAAGAAAAUGUGAUAUAUAUAUAUGUAUAUAUAUACCACAAUGGAAUACUAUUCAGCCGUAAGAAAUAACGAAAUCCUGCCAUUUGCAACAACAUGGAUGAAUCUGGAAAACAUGUUAAGUGAAGUAAGCCAGACAUAGAAAGACAAACACAACACGUUCUCACUCAUAUGCAGAAUUUUUAAAAAUUGAUCUCUGGCUAGAUGCAGUGGCUCAGGCCUGUAACCCUAGCAAUUUGGGAAGCCGAGGCGGGUGGAUCACCUGAAGUCAGAAGUUUGAGACCAGCCUGACCAACAUGGUGAAACCCCAUCUCUACUAAAAAUACAAAAUUAGCCAGGCAUGGUGGCACAUGCCUGUAAACCCAGCUACUGGGGAGGCUGAGGCAGGAGAAUUGCUUGAACCCAGAGAUAGACGUUGCAGUGAGCCAAGAUUGUGCCACUGCACUCUAGACUGGAUGACAAGAGUGAGAUUCUGUCUCAAAAAAUAAAUCAAUCAAUAAAUAAUUAUAAAAAUAAAGAUAACCAAAGUUUCCACAUUUAAUGACAAUUCUAUCUUGAGAGCCACUGUAGAGUUACCAGGAGGAGCUAGAGCUGGUUAAUGGUGGAGAAUGUGCAGGAAGUGUCUAAAACUGUCAGGGCUAGACUGGCUGGGGAACAAAACUGGGUAGUCAGGAUUGGGUAUUGGGUACAUGAUGUUUUACUGAGGUAGUUUUAGUGCCAGUGAUAUUUCAGUGUUCAGACUUAAUUCAUUACUGUAAAGAAUAAAUUAUUAAAUUUUCAGCUUUUAAAAAAUCAUCAAAUAAUCUGUGUAGAUAAUCUCCUUAAUGUCAGGAUGAAAUGAGGGUCAGAUGAGGAAUUCAGGAAUGGGGCUGGACACAGAGAUGUGGUGAGAGAUGGUGAAGCUUAUGAAUGGGGUAAGGUUGUUACCCAUGUCAUUUGUUCAUUUUUUAAAAGUGAUAACCAAUUUCUCUGAGUCUAAGAUCUCCUAAUCAAGCCAGCCCUUGCACGGCUACAAAACUAACCUCCCUAAAACACAGGUGAGACUAUGGCACUCUCUUCCUUUCUGGGCUGCUCCUUAUUGGCUUGAUUUUUAGGGUCCAGUAUAUCCAAAGUGUCAAAACAAAAAUGUAUUACUUCAGAGGGACAUGCAGGAGGAAGAGGUUAAGCACUGAGUGCUAACCACAGUCUGCCUUGGGCAGAAGCAGAAAGAAGCCUCAGGCCAAAUGAUAGAAGGGAAGUCGCUUUCUGUUUUUGUUGCCGGAAAGGGCAAAGAAUCAAAACACCACUUUCGCAAUGAAUGAUCUUACAAAAUUGCAAUAACUGUGACAAGACCUGAAAGACAAAACGCAUUUUUGAAACAUCUUCAUGCAGUAUCUUUUUGCUUUGAAGUAUUUCCCAUUUGAAAAUUGGGAUUGUUUGAUGAUGUACCAUCAUCUCUGGUAUCAAGACAAAUACCAAGACAAAUCUUGGUAGAUCAAGACAAAUAAAAUAUUGUGAGAAAAUUGGGAUACAGAACCAGGUUCAAAUCCAGGCUUUACCACGUAUCAGCUGUGUGUUUUUAGGCAAAUCUUAACCUCGCUGAAUCUCAGUUCUUUCAUUAAUUAAAGGGGAAUAAUUUUACUACCUGAGCCUUAGGAUUGUUAGAGUGCCUCAGACAGUCAGCAUUCAGUAAAUAUUCAAAUAUUCAUCAAAUAGCAACAGUGGUUAGUGGGAUUACAGUUGAUUAUUUAUUUUAGGUCUCUGUAUUUCUUAGAUUGUCUACCAUGAGUAUAUGUUGUUUUUGUAAUUAGAAAGAAAAAUAAAACUUAUUCUUUUUAAAAAUGAAGGCCGGAGGGCUGGAUACAGUGGCUCAUGCCUGUAAUCCCAGCACUUGGGGAGGCCAAGGCAGGAGGAUCACUUGAGCCCAGGAGUUGGAGAGCAGCCUGGGCAACAUGGGAAAACCCUAUCUCUAUCAAAAAUACAAAAAUUAGCCAGGCAUGGUGGUGUAUGCCUAUAAUCCCAGCUACUUGGGAGGCUGAGGUGGGAGGAUGGUUUGAACCCAGGAGGCGGAGGUUGCAGUGAGCCGAGAUCGCACCACUGCACUCCAGCCUGGGCAACAGAGCCACACCUUGUCUCAAAAAAAAGGCCUGGUGUGGUCACUCAUGCCUGUAAUCCCAGUGCUUUAAAAGGCCAAGGAGGAUCGCUUGAGGCCAGAAGUUCAAAACCAGCCUGGGGAAUGUAGUGAGACCUCGUCUCUACAAAAAAUGGAAAAACAAAAAAAAAUUUAACUGGGUGUGGUAGCACACGCUUGUAGUCCUAGCUAUGUAGAAAGCUGAAGCAGGAGGAUCUUUGGAGCCCAGGAGUUUGAGGCUGCAGUGAGCCAUAAUCAUGCCACUGCACUACUGCCUGGGCAACAGAGCAAGACUCUGUCUCAAAAAAAUAAUAAUAAUAAAAAUUAAAGACGAGGGGCAUAAUUUCUCAUAUUUUUACAUUUGCUCUCCCCACCCUUGUCUCUUUUAUGUCUCUUUCUGCUGUUAUAAAGAGUGCAUGCUGUCUAUGCAGCGAUAUUCAGAAGGCAUCAUAGAAUGACAGUCAUUCUCUAUUCUCCAGCACAGUGCUUUUGGGGUCAGCUGACUCUACCCAGGCCUGCAGUACUGAAAUGAGGCUCAGAUCAGGGUGGUGUCUGUGUCCACGGGAGAUCUGUUCUCUCGAUUACAUAUCGAUUCCCAUCCUACCAUUUCCUCAGUUUGACACUAAGCUGGAUGCUCCCAGCCAUCCCCAGUCCUCAGACAACUGUAUUUUUUCCCUCUAGUUUUAUUUAUUCGGCACCAAGGCCUAGUGGCACCGACAUGGCUGCAGGAGUCAAGCCUGCAGUUGGUCUUUGAAAAACAGGGAGAGUGUGGGCGAGUGCAUUAAAGGAAGCAAAGCUCUGGCAGCAAACCAGCUUCUAAUCUUGACGCCACCCCUGGUUCUCUUCUUUUCUUUAUCAUUUUAGGCUUGUGGGUCCCAGAUCUCCAUAUUUGCCUUCUGGAACUGCUUUAGCAAUAAGAAAAAAGAUGGAUGAGGGAAUUAGGGCCGAGUUACUCCAGCCCCAUGAAGCACUCCAGCACCAGGAAGCAUAACCUGAGGCUCCAUCACGUUUGGAGCUGCCUGCCUUGCAGUGGCCCAUCCCUCUCAUGCAGAGGGCCUAUUUUCAGAGUCACAGAGGUAGGGAAAGAGCCAAAGGGCCAGAGUCUUUCUGAAUAUGUGGGCUUUGGGAGUACAAGGUGCCCAUCAUCAGAUUCCUCUCAAACCCGUGGCUACUUGCUUGCUCCCAUCCCAGUAAACAUUGUCGCCAUCCACCAGCUGCCCAAGUCAGAAAUCUAGGAGUUGCUUUGGACCACCUUCCUUUCUUCACAUGUCUCAUCCAAGUAUACACACAAUCCUACUUACUCUACUUUGUAAAAGUGGCCCUUGAAGCCACCCACUUCCCAUUUCCAACUAGUUGAGACAAAUAUGCUCUUCUGUCUCUAUAACUGGUAUCCCCCAAAUAUGACAAUUGUUUAAAUGCCUGGUAGUCCCAAAUAACAGCAAGAGAGCAUAAGGUCACACAGACAGUCAGUGACACAUAGAUCCAGAGGGGAGUGCAGGCUUCCUGAUUCCUAGUCCAGCACUCCUUCUGGAUUUGUUCAUUUGUUCAAUAUGCUGUAUUGAGCCCUUAAGAGAUGCCAGUCACACUGCUAGAUACACUUAUCUCUGGGGUUUCUCCAGGGUCACCUCUGGGGUGACUUCCCAUAUUGGAUUAUGGUUUUCUGCCUGUUAUUUUAUGUCCCUUUGCUCCGGCAUAUCACAGAGUAGGGCAUCCCUCAGGCCCCUGCCGGACCUCUCAUCCUAGCAAUCCACAAGUUGGCUUCUGUGUGGUUUACUCACAACAGCUUCUAAGCUGUGGGGCCAACAGAAAAUACACACAUUGAGGCAUUUCUCCAGAGGAAGAAACUAUGUGAGUCAAACAUUUAAGCCACAAGUAAGUGCAACUAUUUCCCUCUAGACCAAACUUCUGUACAUAGGAAAGGGGAACAGGAAGGUUGAUCUGGGUUCAGUUUUCAUUCCUAUCUCACUCCAUGACAUCUUGGGAAGGAGGAGCUCACAGCAUAAGUCCUUAGCAUAUCCAGAAUUCCACUGAUUCAUUUAACACAUGUUAAUGAAGGUGUGCCAUGUGCCAGGCAUCAGCAUGGGUUCUAGGAACCCAGUGCUCUGUCACACAGAUGGAGAUUCUGUCCUAGGGGAUUUUGUAGACUCACACAAUUGGACGUAACCUACUACUUAGUUUCCUUUUAAAUACAUUCAUUUUUUAAUGCCAUAUUCACAAAUUUCAAAUAAAGGAUUAUAGAAUCAUAGAAUACAGGAGACACAAAGGAGAUACUCAUUUAACCCAAUGCCUUUCUCCUCUUAGUCAAUGUUUAAAUCUCUUUCCCAAUAUCCCUCUCAAGUGAUCAUGUGAUUCCUCCUUGGACACCCACAAUGACAGAGGAUUUACUGCCUCCAAGGUGAUCUAUUCUAUUUCUGAACAGCAGCAAGGGUUAAAUGUUCUUCCCUGUGUGAAGCCAAAAUCACUUUCCCUAAAACUUGUAUUGCGUUCUGCCCUUUGGGCCUAUACAGGACAAGACAGUCUCUUCCAUUCUGAGUGGGCCCUGGCUAUGUGAGGAUGGUUGUUACAGUGCCCAAGUAUUCUCCAAACAUCUCCCCUUGAUGCUCCCUCUCCCCUUGAACAUGGUUUUGAGCUCAUUCUCUAGUCAAAUGGCCAACAGAGCCACCCUCCCCUGCCCAACUCUGUGGAAGGAACUUCACGUAAACAAUAUUUUCCUUGAUUCUCCCACAUUAAGUUCAGAGAUCAUGCCACUAUAGAGCAUCCUUCUCUCACCUCUACAAUACCCCAUCACUUGUGUAACUCUGUAUGUACCAUUGAAACAAGCAGGCAAACUAGAGCUAAUAAUAUUGAGCUUUCAGGGUGGCUUUGAUUAAAAGAGAUAAUGAAUGUUGAAUCAAAUACUGAACAAGUAUUGAUUGAACACUCAUCCUACACUGCACACUGUGCUGAGCUCCGUGUGUGACACCAUUCUGAGGAAGAUAGAAAAGGUCUCUAACCUUACGGAGAUUUUAGCCUAGAUCCUGAACAUAAGCCCCUCUCCAGGGCUUGUACAGUUUUAACCAAAGGUGGGGGUCUUCAGAAGCAAAUCUCCAUGACCUAAGCUGAAAGCUCAAAAAUGGUACCAUUAUGAUGGUCAUCAUGAUGAACUUAGAUACGACCAUAUUAAUGCCAAUACAGCCUUUAGAUGUUACAAUUUCCCUGUGAGAAUAAUACUUUUGGAAACCUAAGAAAGUCCAUAGUGGUAUUUCUAAUGACUAACAACCAUGGUAUCAACUAUGGCCUCAUUUUUUCCUACUAGAAACUCCGUAUUUCCCAUAAAUCAAGGAGUUUUAUAAUAAAUGACCUGGGUUAGCUUCUACUGAGCGACUAUUCUAAUCUGGAUCACUUUUCCUACCUUGGUCAAACCAAAUGUGAGAUUUUAGGGCAAAGCAGCAGUUUUAUUGAGGGAAGUGCAGUUGCACUUACAGGCAUGGUGCCAGGCGCCUUUCCUCCUUCCACUGUCUGCUAUAGUCAUUAUCCUGACCACAGUUCUCUUCGGCCACCAUCUUAUUCGGCAUGCUACAGUUGACAGAAUUUGCAUCCAAUAUUAAAGAGGCUUUCAGCUUUUCCAAAAGCUGUGCCUUGGCUUCCUUAUCAUUUCACAUUACAGCUUGCACAUUGUUUGGUCAGGGAACUGAUGGGAAUGGAAGUUAUUUACUGAAAAAUAAAUCACCUCUUAUUUCAGUUGAAACCACUGUUCUUCCUGUUUCUCUGUUACUGUCAGAUAAUCCACCAUCUUGGGUGGAGUGUGCAUGAAACCACUACCUAACAUAUGACCAGGGGAGGGAAGUGACCACAGGAUAUCACUAUCUGUGUCAGAAGAGUGGCAAAUGUUUAGCAGGAAGCACUUCGCAUUUACUGGUACAGCAGAGUUGUAUAUCUGGGAAGAUGGUCCAUGGCCACCAUGUUACUAGGAUGAGAGUUAAGGUCUCUUUCAUUACACCUCAUCCACUGCCCCUAUAUACUGACAACAUUUAUUAAUACUAUCUACGCUUUUGGAUAUUAAUCAUAAUUUUUUUUUUGAGACAGUUUCACUCUUGCUGGAGUGCGAUGGUGAGAUCUCGGCUCACUGCAACCUCCACCUCCUGGGUUCAAGUGAUUUUUCUGCCUCAGCCUCCCGAGUAGCUGGGAUUAUAGGCACGUGCCACCACACCCGGUUAAUUUUGUAUUUUUAGUAGAGACGGGGUUUCUCCAUGUUGAUCAGGUUGGUCUCGAACUCCCAACCUCAGGUGAUCCACCCGCCUUGGCCUCCCAAAGUGCUGGGAUUACAGGAGUAAGCCACCACGCCUGGCCUAUUAAUCAUAAUUUUAUCCAUGUGGCUAAUAUCUACAAUUAGCCUGGCAUUGUGCUUGACACUUUAUGUACUCUAUCUCACUCAAUCUGCACAACAAAUCUUAUGUGGUAAGCAUGAUUAUUCUGUUUUCAUAUGAGAAAACUGGUUCAGAAAGGGCAAGUGGGUUGCUCAGGGUAACUUUAAUAAGAUUCAGGCCCAGUGUGGUGAUGCACAGAGCCUGACAUCUUUUCACUCUCUUACUUUACCACCUGGUACGCACAGAGCCUGACAUCUUUUCACUCUCUUACUUUACCACCCUGUACACAUGAAUCCCAAUCCAGAAAAGAGGGGGCCUCUCUCAGAAUGUCCUUCCUCCCAUACUUGUUCACUCCCUCCCAUUAUUUGUGUUUUUAUCUCCUACACAGGCUUGCAAGUUCUGAUGAGGGGAAGAUGCCAUUCAUCUUUGUAGUCUUCCAGAGAAUAGAAUACGAUAGUGUCUCAAAAAAUGCCAAGUGAAAGCACACACACAAACCAGAAUAUAACGCUAUAGCUGGAAUUUCCGGCUCCUAGUUCAAAAUUGCAGAAAGACUUCCUUCUUAAGUAUAAUAAUGAAUCUAAUCUUAUGUAGCCUAUGUGAUAUUAAUAGUAGCCUUGCAGUGACUGAACAGUAAAACCUCUUUUUCACUGUGGCUCCAAAUUGCACAUCCUCUUGGUGUCCAAAGCCAAAGAGAAUAAAAAUCCUCCCACCCAUAGUGUGCCAGUCAAAAGUAGCUGAGUCAAGACAUGCAGUUUCUCAAAUAUGAAUAGAAAAACUUUCUGCUCUACAUCAAUAGGAGAAGCUUCCCCAGAAGCACAAGAAACUAGUGAGAGUCAUUGUGCAAAGAGCGUAAGAGGAGAGAUCUCCUCUUUAUAUACAAAGCUGGCUUUGCUGGGACCAGAUGCAGAUUGAGAGGCAGUGUUCUCAGUCAUUAGUAUUUAAGACCCUGACACCUGAAAAUCAUCAUUCCAAUUAGAAUGGAAGAAACAUGCAAGAAAUAGGUGCACAGGGAUCAGCAAGCCAAGAAAGAAAGAGGACUGGGAUGGCAAUAACUCUCCAAAUUUAUGGAGGGCUUCCUAUGUGCAGGCACUUACUUUAUUAGUUUUAGUAUUUAUAACAAUUUGAGGGGUAGAUCUAUUUUGCAGAUGUAGAAAUGAAGCUGUAGAGCAGUAACCUGCCCAAGUUCUCCCUGUUGGUAAAUGUAGAGCUGAGAGAAUUGAACUCAAAUGUCUGACUCCAAAGCCUAAGUGCUUAACCAUUAAUGCUAAUCAUUAACCACACUUAACUAACCAUUUCAUCUUUUCCUUGGCGAGCAGGGACUAGAGGUUACAUACUAGAAAUCCACUGCAUAUUCUUUAUUGGCCUUAUUUACAUUAUGAAAAAACUAAAUGUACAGUUCUCAUUCUGUAAAAUGGAUGCAGUCAUUCAAAAUUAAUCUUUUUGUUGUCAAUUUCAGUCCUGGGCUAACAACCUCCCCUAGAUAAUGUACAGAGACAUCUGGACUCAGUGUCUCCACAUUGACAAUUUUAUUCAAGAAACUCAUAUCCAGAGCGGCCAGCCAGAUAAGCAGCAGCCGUUAUAGGCUUGAGCCUGAUAAAAAAUGUUGCUUGAGGCCGGGCAUGGUAGCUCAUGCCUGUAAUCCCAGCACUUUGGAAGGUCAAAUCCGAGGCAGGUAGAUCACCUAAGGUCAGGAGUUUGAGACCAGCCUGGCCAACAUGGUAAAACCCUGUCUCUACUAAAAAUUAGCCAGGCCUGGCAGUGUGCUCCUGUAAACCUAGCUACUUGGGAGGCUGAGGCAUAAGAAUCGCUUGAACCUAGGAGGCGGAAGUUGCAAAAAUGUUUUUUAAAAAGCUACUUGUUUCACUUAUAUUAGUAGAGUGGAUUAUAGUCUACCAUGCACUUCAUAUCUAUUAUUUCAUUUGAUCCUCUGAAGAAUGUUAUGAGAUAGAUAAAAUAAGUAAUAUUAUCCCUAUUAUAUAUAUGAAGAGGCUCACUUAGAAUUACAAAAUUAGAGCCGGGUGCAGUGGUUCACACCUGUAAUCCCAGCACUUUGGGAGGCUGAGGCAGGCAGAUCACCUGAGAUCAAGAGUUCGAGACCAGCCUGGCAAACAUGGUGAAACCCCAUCUCUACUAAAAAUACAAAAAUUUGCCGGGCAUGGUAGCAAGCGCCUAUAAUCCCAGCUACUUGGGAGGCUGAGGCAGGAGAAUCACUUGAACCCAGGAGGCAGAGGUUGCAGUGAGCUGAGAUCGCCCCACUGUACUCCAGCCUGGGCAACAGAAUGAGACUCUGUCUCAAAAAUAAAUAAAUAAAAUAAAAUUAGAAAGUGGUGGAACUGGGACUGUAGUUCAGGGGGACUUUGAGUUCAGGUCCUGAUAAUCCAAAACCCAAAUAAACAAACUUCUAGCCCUUUAGAAAUAUGGAUGGAACCAUGCUCAAAUCUUGACGUUAUCACACAAGUCUAUCAGCUUCACACAUCACUAUCACAUCUGCCAAAUAAGAAUGAGGAUAUCUGCUUUGCAGGAUUGUUCAACUAAAUGAGAUAAUGUAGGUAAAGCCCCUUCAAUAAAGUAGUGAACAGAACAGACAUGGAUCCUGUCCUCCUGAAGUUUAUAGUCUGGAAUCAGGAGGUGGCGAUUAAGAAGAAAACAUUCAAUAAUACACACUUAACUAUCAAGUUAUACUAAUAAAAAGUGUCAUAAGGGAAAAAUACAGAGUGCUAUGCAAAUGUGCAGUGGGGUGACAUAACUUAGAGUGUGGUCCAGAGAGGCUUCCCUAGGCAGUGACAGCUAAGCUGAGACAAGAGGAUGCAGUAUAAUAAGCCAGGUGACAUGGGGAAGUGUGAGGCCAUGGGUGUGGGUGUCGGUUACAGCAGAGAGCGUUCCAGGCAUAAGAAGCAUUUUUGAAGACGUGUGGUGCCCAUGAGAAACAAAGAAAUUACUUGUGGGGCUGGAGUGUGAAGAGAUCCAAGAAGAAUGAUGUGACAGGAUGUUGGUGAGGUUGGCAGCCUUCAUGGCAUGUGGGGCCUUGCUGGUCAAGUUUAAAAUUUUGAACUUUAUCCUAACAGCAAUGGGAAACAACCAAAGGGAUUUAGGCAAGGGGGCAACAUCAAUAGGUUUGAGCUUUACAAACUUCCAAUUCCUGACUAGGGAAAGUUGGGAUCUUUUUAAAACUUUUCCUUUGGCCGGGAAUGGUGGCUUAUGCCUGUAAUCCUAGCACUUUGGGAGACUGAGGCAGGCGUAUCACCUGAGGUCAGGAGUUCAAGACCAGCCUGGCCAACAUGGCGAAACCCCAUCUCUACUAAAAAUACAAAAAUUAGCUGGGCGAGGUGGCGGGCGCCUCUAAUCCCAGCUAUUCAGGAGGCUGAGGCAGGAGAAUCACUUGAACCAGGGAGGCAGAAGUUGUAGUGAGCUGAGAUCGUGCCAUUGCACUCCAGCCUAGGCGACAGAGUGAGACUCCAUCUCAAAAAAUAAAAACAACAACAUCAAAAAAGCCCCUUUUCUUUAUUUUUUUGAACAAACACUUCCUUAGUACCUCUUAUAUUGCAAAGACAGCAAUAGGCUGUUUGUUUCAAAUGUAGAAUCUGAAGACUUAGAAUGGGGCAAGAACCAACAUGUCCCUUUAAGGAGCUAGAACAUGUCACCUCAAAGGCUCCCUCCACUUCUGCCACCUAACGCAGUUGCUUCUUACUCUAAGCAAGAAGUAACCUCCAAAUCCUAAAAGUACAUUAAGAACCAGUGGGACAUUUCUGGGAAGCUCAUUUAUUUAUUCUUUUUGUUGAGCAGACAAAUAUUAAGCAUCAACUAUGUACCCAGCACUGUACUGGGUGCUGAGGGUACAGGAUUGAUAAGAUGGAGGUCCUAUACUUUAAGAACUCAUGGUUUGGGGUUGAGGUAGGCCAGAAAAAUAACAAUCCCAACAAACUAGAAUCUGUUACAAGAGAAAAAGCCAGGAGGGAGUUGCUCACAGAACCUAGAGUGAGGAAAGCUUUAGAAGAGGUGAUUAGCACCUAAUAUAUGCUCCGUAGCUGCAUACUGAGUAAAUUUAAGUUUGAGCUGAGUCUUGAAGAUGAGGGGAAGGUUAGCAGGGAGAAUAAGAGGAGUAGGGAAUGAACAAGAUCACACAUAUCAGAAGAGUGUCUUUUGAGAUUAUUUUAUCAGCAGUAAACUGGAUGGGUUGAAAGGGAGAGAUUAUAGGCAAGGAGGUCAAGUAAAAACCUGGAGCAGUGAUCCUGCUGAAAAUUGAAGAGGACUUCAUGUGCACUCAGCAGUAAUUGGGACUGUGCUCAGUUUGCCUAACCUUAGCUUGCUCUCAGUGGUAUGGUGCACGGCUUGUAAUUGUUAUUCGCAUCUCCCCAUGAAUGCAUGCCUGUUCUCCCUCACUAGGGUGGAGACUGUCAUUGACUGAAAUCCUUAUAACACUUAAUUCUGUACCCUGCACCCCAUGCAUCCCCAUCAAAAGCUGGGUUGAUGAUUGGAUUCCUCGAGCUGGCGUGGGAGUGGGAGAGCUGGAACAAGGGAGCAGGGAGAGGAAGGGAACCAGGGCUGGCAAUGAGGGUCAAAAAGCAUUUCAUGUUAUCUUAAAUUUUUUUCACAAGUGUAAUGAUGCCUUUAUGUGUUCAUGACUUAAUUAAAUAGUUUUUUUUAAGGUAAUAAAAUCAUUAAGAAUAUGCAGUAUUGCUUUUCACUGCUUUUCUAUUUUUCCUUUUCCUUUUUGUUUGUUUGUUUGUUUGUUUGAGAUGGGAUUUUGCUCUGUUGCAGGCUGGAGCACAGUGAUGCAAGUAUGGCUCACUGCAGCCUUGACCUUUCAGGCUUAAGAGGUCCUCCCACCUCAGGCUCUUGAGUAGCUAGGACCACAGGGGUGGGCCACCAUGUCCAGCUAAUUUUUUUUUUAGAGAUUAGGGUCUCACUGUGUUGCCCAGACUGGUCUCAAACUCCUAGCCUUAAGCAGUCCUCCUGCCUGAGCCUCCCAAAGUGUUGAGAUUAUAGGCAUGAACCACUGUGCCAUGCCCAGUAGUGCUUUUAAUAGUGAAAAGUUUGAAUUACCUAAAUAUCCAGCAAUAGAAAUAUUACCAAAUCAAUCAUGAUACAAUUUCAAUGGCAGAAUUUAACAAAAAUAAUGUUGUUGAGGUAUGUUCACAGAUAUAAAGAAGUUAGUAUUUUAUAGUUCCACUUAAAAGUAAGUAGAUAUUAAUUACUAUAUUCUGAAUUAUCCCAUUUUUGUUAACAAAUAUAUGCACAAAAAGGUUUAAGAUACCUUUAUAUAAGAAGUUUAUGUAGUUUCUACAUCAGCGGGAUUCUGUUGUGCUUUCUUUUACUUCUCUAUUUCCUAAUUUUUAAAUAAAAAAUAAAUAAUAAGAAAACCCCAAUUUUUAAAAAUGUUAAUGAAAUGAGAAAACUGAACUAGGAACAAAGAGAGUAAGAAAGCUAAGAGGAAAAAAUGUACCAUGGUGCCAUGGUGGAUGGGGAUAAUAAAGAAAGUAGAGAAAAGACGUUCUUGGAAUUGUUUUUUUUGAAAGAGAUUUUCUUAUUUUCCAUAAAGUUAAGGGGAAAAAUAUUUUUGUUCUCAGAGUUUUUCAGUGUGCUUUCCAAGCCAUCAAAUUCCUAAAUAUAACCAAAGUUGAUGAUUUUACAAGUAAGCCAAUAUAAACAUAGUAGAUGUUUAUAUUUCAACAUUAACAACGUGACAUUGGAGCUGCAAAAGAUCUUCCCAAUUGGCCAUAUUUUAUUUUUCUCAAAAGUUUCCAUUUUCAGUCCCCUUUUAAAAUACAUCCAGUCCCCCCUCCCCACCCCCACUCCACCCCUUUGUGGCUUUAAAAUUUCAAGAAAAGGCAGAACCAGAUUAACAUAGUAAAACUGGGGACAGAGCAUGUGGAAGAAAGGAGCAAGAGGGAGGUGGUAGAAGGUUACGCAUUUGGGGAGGAAGAGGAAGAGAAGGAAUUUUUGCAGAGCCUUGCCUCAAAGAGGUACUACUCAAACUUAGUCAAAUCAUGUAGGCUCUUGUUAAAAUGCAGGUUUUGAUUCCGCAGAUCUGGGUGGGACUCCCUGGUGAUACCCAUGCUUACUGGUCCAUGGACAACUUUGAGCAUCAAGGCCUUAGACUCUGGGACUUUGCUCUUCCACCCUGGUCACAUUUCACAUGGGCAGCCUCUGGCUGUGAUAACCUCUUUCUUUCUAACCUAAUAGGGUUUUAUUUUAUUUAUUUAUUUAUUUAUUUUUUUGUCAAAAUACCAAAUAUUGGAAACUUUUCAGAAAGUAGUUUAACCAUGAGCAAGGUACAGUUCAAGGUACUCUCCAUGGAAGAGAGUAAAAUGGGAAAUACAAUAUGGAAUGGGUAGAAGCCCCUGAUAUACGAAUGUUAUUUGUUAUAAAGGGCGUGGUGUUGUGGAAAAAGCCCUGGACUGGUUGUCAACAAAACUGGCUUCAAUACUAGUGAUUACUAACUAGCUAUAUGCCCUUGUGCCAGUCAUUUUUCUCUGGUUCUCUGUUUCCUUUCCUGUUAAAUAAAAUAAUUGGUCUACAUGGCUUCUAAAAUCUUUUCAGUUCUGACACUUGAAGAAUCUAUAAAGGAGAUCCUAUAUCAAUAGGAAGGGAGGGAAAGGGAUGUGCCACCACACGCGCAGCUGCCAAGGAUCCUGUACAUGUGGUAUUACUGUGGUGGAAUCUCCCAUUUGUCUGCCCAGAUGCAAAAAUGUUAUUGGAGUGAGAGACUGGGAAACUUGCCUGGUAUGAAAUCCUAGUACCCCAACUUCCUGCUUUUGGCAAUUUAGAGUCUUGGGAAUCAGUCCCAGCCCCUAUAAAAUAAGGCAGACCCUGUAAACAUGCCUUCCAAGAGCCUCCAAUGUAGCUCUGACAGCUUUCAAAUUCUAAGCUCCUCAAUCCUCCAUUCUCAGGCCACCCUCAGGUUUCACCUCAUUCCCCUGUACUGGUCAGCAGCCAAAUUCUGCAGCCUCUUGAGCUUAAGGUCCCAGCCAAAAAGCCUGACUGCCCUCCUACUUGUGAACAAAUCCCAAUUCUUGAAGCAACCCCAGCCCUCCCCAACAGACUCCCUGCUGAACCCUGAGUCUCCCAGAUACUCAAACUUAGUUCAGCCCUGUAGCAAUCAAGCCUCAGGGAUUUGGGCUGGCUGGAAGCUGACACUUCUCUGUUUAAGAUAGUCCCAUCUGCAGAGUGAGGAUCAGCCCCUAAAUUGAUAAGCACAGGGUGGGAAAGCGACCUGCCCUAGUGAGAUUACCCAGACUCUAAAGUAAGGUCCUGCAGCUCCACCUCAUACCUCCAUGGACACACACUCUUUGGCUUUUAAGUUAUGAAACAGACCUGUUGCUAUUCUAAGGAAGUCUCACAAGUCACCAUAUAAACAUGCCAGCUUCAGGCAGCUUCCUGUGGUUUGCCAAAAACCAGCUGGGAAGGCAGCCAGACUCCCGCCACCGUCCUGGAACCCCCUCCUCUAGCAGACAUUCACUCAGGGCAUGACCUCCUGAGGUGCCCACUUGGGAUGCAGGAACUUAGUGGCUGCUAGAGUUGUUAUUUUUCCCUCCAGCCCCAGCCUGGGCUGGGCUGAAUGAUGUGGCUGGCUGGUACAAAGGCUGCUUUUUAUAAUGUUCUUCUUUGGUAUUUUUGCUGUCUGGAGAGGGCUUCCUUUCCUCCCACAGUUAAUUAGCAGCAUCAAGCAUUUCCCUUUCUCCAAAAGAAGUCUGUUCCCACCCAUGAGGCCAGGCAGAGGAGGUGGCAGGUGUGGCUAAAUGCCCCCUGAGGUUAACCUCAAACUUAAACUUAGAGCCCUACUUGGUUAGAAGUGAUGUGAAAUGCAGGGCUAGCUUCCAUUCUGGGCAGAGUCGGCAAGUGGGCACACGUCCCUGGCAAGCUAGCAUCCCAAUCAGGUGAGGGGACAGAGAAGGGGGUGGGGAACCAAUGUGUGUUUGACACAUUUGUGAAUUGUUUCUACAACAAAGACUUUUUUAAAACAACAGAGUGAAGCUUUAUAUAUUUGAAUGAGAAGCACACAGAAGGACCUAUUGUCUGGAGGAAAAAUUGCAUGAGUAAUUGUGCAUGACUUCAGACUUCCCAGUUGAAAUGUUAGGCAUAUUAAGGAUGAUUGAGGGCAUUCCAGUGUUUUCAGUGUGGAGAAGAGGGAGGACAGAGCUCCCAGGACUAGGGGAGGGAGGCAGGUUGUGUAGCAAGACAAGGGAGGAAGGAAUCUGAGGAACUCUGUACCCCACUUUGCUCUCUGGUUUCCAUUUUUCCUCUAUUUAAUUGAACUGCCACCUCCUACAGGAAGCCUUCCUGACCCUAUCUCCUUCCUCCACCUGUCACUCUAGGUGUUCUUCUUGAUACAUAUCUCCUGUCUUUUCAUUAUUUACUUGACUAUGAUACUGUGGAUGGGCCAUAGAAAAGAGAGGAUGGACUCCAGAUGCCACUUCCUAGAUGUGUUACCUUGGACAAGUUACUUAGCCUCUCUGUGCCUCAGUUUUCUUGUCUAUAAACAGUAAUACCUUGUAGGGUUGUUGAGAGGAUUAAAUGUGUUAAAACCCAUAAGGAACUGAGAAUAGUGCCUGACAUACAGUGUGCACCCUCAAUAAAUGUUAGCAAUUAUUUAUUUUUAUUUGCAUCCCCUCUUGUUUGCACAGGACCUAAUAUAUCAUGGGGCAGCUGUGUUCAACCCUCAUAUGCAUCUUAAUUGCUUGAGGAGCUUUAGAAAUGUACAGGCCUGGCCUGGGCUCCAUUAAUCUAUGGGUGAAACCUGGUAAUGGUAUUUUGGAAAUGUUCCCUGGGUGGUUUUAUUAUGUAACCAGGUUGAAAACCAGUGUCAUAAAUGCUCAAGGAAUAUUUGUUGAAUGAAUGAAUGAACCAAAUGGGAUCAGAAAGAACAAACCCCAUGCUGGCUUCGGCAGCACAUAUACUAAAAAUUGGAAUGAUACGGAGAAGAUUAGCAUGGCCCCUGCACAAGAAUGACACACAAAUUCAUGAAGUGUUCCAUAUUAAACAUAUAUAUAGAGAGAGAAAGAACAAACCCAGGUUACCCCAUCUUUAGGAAUGUGAAGGCAUGAUGAUUCUGUCUCCUUCAGAAAGUUGAUUCUUCCUGAGACAGGUUUCAAGAGAAAAAUAUGACAGAGAAUAUAAUGGAAUACAUGAAAGAAAGAAUCAUAAUCCUAGUCAUCUCAACAUGAAAGUAUUGAAGAAAUAGAAAAACAAUUGCCUAGAGCUCAUAUUAGAGAUCAACAGUUAUUUUCUCUUGCUCUCCCUUCUGUGUAUGCAGAUUUAUUUCCUGGAGUUGCUAUAACAACUCUAGCUAGAAGGUGAACUUUGACUUUUCCUCUAGUUUUAAUUUCGAUUUGCUACUCAAUCUUUAAUUUAGAGGACAUAAAAAUUUAUCUCAAAUAAAGCAUUUGCACCACUCUAAUGUAUAUUCAUGCAUGAUGAUAGCAUAAUUAUAAUUAACUGCUUUACCUAGUUGGUCCACAAAAUUUAAACUGAUUACUGCUUGUAGAACAUUAAGUCAGGCACCUCAAAAUGGAAAUAGGAAACUAGGCCGGGGUGGUGGCUCACACCUGUAAUCCCAGUACUUUGGGAGGCCAAGGAGGGCGGAUUGCUUGAGCUCAGGAGUUCAAGACCAGCCUGGGCAACACAGGGAAACCCUGUAUCUACCAAAAAUACAAAAAUUAACUGGAUGUGGUAGCAUGUGCCUGUAGUCCUAGUUACUUGGGGGGCUGAGGUGGGAGGAUCACUUAAUCCCAGGAAGUCAAGGCUGCAGUGAGCCAUGAAGGAAAAUUAAAUUUAAGAAAAGAAGAUGCUAUAUACAAGGAACAGUGACAAGGUGAGAAACUAGCAAACCUACAGUUGUCUAAGUAGUUUUUGAUGCCUAAUAUUUAAAAAGUUAGUAAAAAUCUUGCAUUAAUUCCCAAAUGAAGAGAACGGGAAAUUUUAGAAAAUAAAAAUACUUAAAUAUAGGAAUAAAUAUUCUUCAUGACCUUACUAAACAACAACAAAUAAUGGGAGAGAUGUACCAUUUCCUGAAUGGAGGAUCAAUAAUGUGAAGGUGUCAUUUCUCCUCAAAUUGAUCUAAAAGGCUGGGUGCGGUGACUCAUGCCUGUAAUCCCAGCACUUUGGGAGGUAAAGGUGGGCAGAUCACUUGAGGUCAGGAGUUCGAGACCAACCUGGCCAACAUGGUGAGACCCUGUCUCUACUAAAAAUACAAGAAUUGGCUGCCGUGGUGACACAUGCCUGUAAUCCCAGCUACUCAGAAGGCUGAGGCAUGAGAAUCACUUGAACCUGGGAGGCAGAGGUUGUAGUAAGCCAAGAUCACACCACUGCACUCUAGCCUGGGCAACAGAGUGAGACCCUGUCUUAAAAAAAAAACAAAAAUUGAUCUAUAAACCGAAUAAAAUCUCAAUUAAAAAACCAGAAAUAUACAACAAAAAUACUAUAAGCAAAAGUUAAAGAGUGAAAAGGACAGAUUACUUGCCAAUUAUACAACAGAAGAUUAAUAUCCUUAAUACAUAAAGAGUACUUAUCAAUGAAUAUAAAAUACAAAUUAAACUAUUAAAAAAUGAAGCAAGGAAUUGAACAGUUAAUUAAACAGAGGAAGAAAUGUAAGUGGUCAAUAAGCAUAUAACAAUGUUCAGUCUCAUGGGUACAUAAGGAAAUGUAACUUAAAAUAAGUCUGAAAUAUUUUUAGUCUUCAGGUUGUAAAAAAUGAAUAAACAAUAAAAUCCAACAUUAGCAAAACUUCAGGGGAAAUGACACUCUCAAACUCUCUGGGAGUAUCAGUUGUUAUCACGGUUUCUAGAGAGCAACUUGGAAGUAUGUAUCAAAAUUUUCCAUUUCUAGCUAUCUAACCUGGAGAAAAGUUUGUAGAAGAGUCCAUUUACACUGUAAAUUAAGUAAAAAAUAGAGAGAACACCAGGAGGCUCCCAUAGCACAGCCAGUAAACAGUGCCAACACUGGAGUUAAAGUGCUGUGGUUCAAAUCCCUGUUUGGCUACUUACUAGUCCUGGGGCUUUGGGUGAGAUUACCUUAGCUGCUUCAGCAGUCAAGUAGGGAUGACAAUAUGCAGUACCUAUUUCAUAGGGUUAUUCUGAGAAACAUUUUGCAUGCCAGGUGCGGUGGCUCACGCCUAUAAUCCCAGAACUCUGGAAGGCAGAGGCAAGAGGAUCGCUUGGGGCUAGGAGUUCAAGAACAGACAUGCAAAGGGCUUAAUGCCAGGGAUAAAAUACUUCCCUGUGCCAUGGUAGUCCACCCCUCUCUUUCCCAAACCCCUAACCGUGUAUGCCAUUGCAGGUUCCUAAAUAUGUAAGUGCGUAGAGAAACUUAUGGCAGAAACUGAUAGCACGGUAACUUACAGAAGAAGGUGGGGUUGAGUGGGAAUAUGUAAGAUUUUUACUUUUUACUUUCUACUUGUUUAUUUUAAAAACAUUUUGCAGGCCAGGUGCAGUGGCUCAUGCCUAUAAUCCCAGAACUCUGGGAAGCAGAGGCAAGAGGAUCGCUUGAGACUAGGAGUUCAAGACCAGGCUUAGGCAACAUAGUGAAACCUAGUAAGGCCCUCGUCUCUUAAAAAAUAAAAUGCAAAGAAUGUAUUCAUUUAUUUAUAAUCACUUGUGUAAUUAAAACUUGUUAAAUUUGACAGAAGAAAUAGGAUGGUAGGCAAAAGUAUUUAUCCCAGGAAGUUAGAAAAAUGGAAUAUGAUGAUAGCAUAUAUCAUGUCCUAGAUAUUUUAGAUGAUGGAAUAUGGGUUACGUACAGAGACUGGGUUUUCAGAACUAAAAAUCAGAACCCAAUGUCUACCAAAGGAUUUUUAGUAUAAUUUCUGUGUAGGAGAGGCAGCCUGGAUCAUUCAGUCUGGAUGCCAAAAUAAUGGACUUUCUGGAACAAUCUAAUGGUUUAUUAUUACAAAUAGACUGAAACUGGGCCUGUUCAAAAAUUCCCAAUCACAUUCCGUUUUUGGAUCCUGUUGGAACUGAAUUCCUCCUGACCCAAAACCUCCUGACCCAAAACCUAGCAUUCAGCCUGCCUUAUCCUAACUCCCCUAGGUCCAAGGCCUUGCAGAUUUCCUCCCUGUGAGAUCUCCCAGGAGCCCUGGCAGAGCAUUCCUAACUUCUCAAUUGCUUCUGUGGCAUCUCUAGGCACACUGUCUGCCCUCACCUGCUAGGGAAGCUACUUUCCUGUCUGUGUCAUCCCCCUGGUUCCUCUAUGACCAGCCCCCAGCCCCCAGCCCUAGCCUGGCAUGAAGCUGAGCCAGCUCAGGCAUGGCCUGGGCUUCUGAUACCAAUCCUGCUGAGGUUAGCACAGACAGUCCCAGACACAAGGUAAGCUGAGGCCGUGAGAAUGAAUUUCUGGGUAACAAAAGGAGGAGGGCGAUAGGGCCAGAGAUAGCAAAAAGAGUUUGCCAGGAAACCAGAGACACGGGUGCUGAGUGGAAAAGAGAAGUUGGAGCAGGACUCAAUGAACAUCUUGAGGCCACUUAAAGGAAGUGGGAAAAAUGUAGAAGCAAAACAUACACAGCAGUGUUAGCUGUAAGUGUGAGAAAGGAUGGCCUUCAUCUCAUCAAUUGAUGAUGUUGAUCAUCAAUGAUCAAGGUAAACACAUGGGUUCAUCCCUGAGAAGAUCAAAACAAAAAGCUCCAGUGCGCCCCAGAAGGUUCUGCUGGGGAACAGGGAAAGAAAUGAGUCAGAAAAACCUGCUUCCCACCCUGGCUGUGUGACGUGGAGCAACCGCCUUUACGCCCUGAGCUUUUCCAGCAAGUUGGGUUCCUUCUAAAUAUUAAAUGUGUUUGGAUAACUAAGGCUCUCAGUCUGCUGUUCAGUAAAUCUGAAUUUCUUUCUUUUCUUUUUUUUUUUUUUUGAGACAGAGUCUUGCUCUGUCGCCCAGCCUGGAGCGCAGUGGCGUAAUCUUGGCUCACUGCAACCUCUACCUCCUGGGUUCAAAUGAUUAUUGUGCCUCAGCCUCCCAAGUAGCUGGGACUACAGGCAUGCACCACCAUCCCCAGCUAAUUUUUGGUCUUGGUAGAGACGGGGUUUUGCCAUGUUGGCCAGGCUGGUCUUGAACUCCUAACCUCAGGUGAUCCGCCUGCCUUAGCCUCCCAAAGUGCUGGGAUUACAGGCCUGAGCCACCGUGCCCUGCCGGUAAAUCUGAAUUUCUUUCUUUUUCCAUCAAAAUGUUGAUGAUGAUGAAAACUCACCCCAGUCUCUUGCUACCCAUGUCAUCCUCAGUGUCAGCAGUCAACACACCAUAUAAUAGUUGUGAUAGAUAAUAUUUACUGAAGUGUGUAUUGUUUGCAGGCUCUGUUCUGAACCCCUUGCAGUAGUAAACCUCACAAUAACCCUAUGAAGCGGGUAAUAGUAUUCUUCCUAGUUCACAGAUAAGAAAAUUGAAGCCCAAAGAAGUUUAGUAAUUCGCCCAAGCUGAAUAGCUAAUAAAAGGCAGAUCCAGGAUGAAAAUCCAGCUCUAACUGCAAAACCCAUGCUCUUUACUACUGCACCAUAUGCCUUCCUGACAGUAAGGCAGAAAAUAGAAAAAAAGGUAAAACAAGGGAAGGUCCUAGCAGAGAUACUGAGGGAGACUAAGAGGAGGCCUCUGAUCCUGGGUAGGAGCAGCUGUUGAAGGAGGCUUCCUAGAAAUCUCCCAUUUGACAGUGGGAUCCAGGGGGGAAAUGCCACUGCUAAGAUGAAGGAGCAACCUCCUCCCCUCCUGUGGGACAUGGGGGAUGGCAUCUGAAAGGAAGCUGAUCAUAGAUAUAACCUGUGCAAAUAAAGCUGUAGGCUGGGGCACUGCUUCAUGUUAUGAAAACAUCUUGCAGUAAAGGAAGGUAAUGUGGUAAUAAGUCCAAACAGAAGGGUGAUGGGUUGGCAGGCAGUUUGAAACAAGCCAAGUCAAAGUUUGUCCAUGUGUCUCUAGCUCUGCCUACUCUGAUUUCAAGUGUUCUGUCCUAGUUCCGUAGGCAAAAUCCCUGGCGGGAGGAAAAGGGCCUGAAGGAGAUGCUUCCUGGAGAAAGGCAAAGCACAAAACAAGUAGAAGACAUUAUUCCUGUUAAUGUAGUAAUGCCGAGGAUACUAGAGGUUUUCAUUAAAGUUACAAUCAUUGCCACCAUUUUCAUUUAUUCACUCACUCAUGUAUUUAUCCAGGAUUUCCUUAUGGAGAAUCUCCUAUACUCCACGCCCUCCACUAGAUGCUGGGACAUAAUAAAUGGUCUCUAGGAAUUUUCGAUCUAGUCAAGAGACAAUAGAGAGUGGGCUCUUCCAACCUGAUCGGGUAAAAGCACUGCUGUCAGUGAGGGCCUGCCACAUGCAAAAACAUGAGCCUUCCUGCAAGGAGGUGAUGUGCCAGUGGGGAGUAAGGAAGUACCUCCUACGAUAUGCAAGACAAAAAGGUCCUUUGGGAAGUAGUCCAGCUUUCUCAGUGUAUGGAGAAGAAACCCAUGAACCUGAGAUACAAACAGGAUAAACUGCAAAUCAAGACUCCUUAGGGUAAAUACCAGCUGAAUGGCACCAUUGCAAGUGCAGCAGGAGUUUGAGGGAGACAAACAUCACUGUGAGUCGAGGAAGGCUUCCUGGAAGAGGUGGGACUUAAGCUAGGCUUUCCUGGAAAAAUAAGGGGUGUGUGUUUGUGUGUGUGUGUGUUUGUGUGUGUGUGUGUGUGUGUUUGUGUGUGUGUGUGUGUGUACACACAGGCAUGUGUAUGUAGGGAAAAUACCUGGCUCUUAGAUGUUGGGCAAAUUGUUCCUUAAAGCUGUUUAAUUUUUUUAUCUGUUUUUUUAGUCACCAAAAGUCCCUCAGAUCUGCAAUUGUUUGUUUGAGAAGAUCUACCGCUAGAUAUGAUAUGAUUAGUUGCACAGGCUUUGGAGUCUGAUAGGCCUGGGGUCAAAUCCAGGCUCUGCCAUUUUCUAGUUGUAUGACCUUAGUUUCCUCAUCUGUUAAAUGGGGAUAAUUACACUUAUCAUAGGCUUAUUAUGAGUAUUAAAUAAAAUAUGCAAAGCACAUAUCAUAGGGCCUGUAACUCAGGAAUCACCUAGCCUAAUUCCAUAAACAUAAUUAUUUACCUGUAUUGAGCCAAUGGCAUUUUCAGUGUCCUCUGAAUUUAUUUAAAUUCCGUUAAUUUUUUCCAUCCAACUGUUAGGCACAGUGCCAAGCAUCAUCCUGGAUGGUAGACACAGUCAUGUGCCAGAGAUAUGUUCCUUGCCCACUCAGGGCAGCCUAGAGGGAUAUCAGACACAUAAGCACAUGAUUGCAGUACAGUGUGAGGUGCACUAUUAACAGCGGCAAGUAGUCGUUAUUGGUGGUCAUCUCUGAGUGGUCUAUGGACUUGAAAGGCCAUACAAGGGGCCAGUGGGGCCUGACCUCACCAGGAUGCAGCUGCUCUGGAAACCCACCAGCAAAGUCAUUAUCACUUCUGGACAGCUCUAAGUCUGCUCUGUAUUAUUUACAAUGUCAUUUUCGUUUAAUAGCAGAAUAAUCUAAAUAGAAAAAAAAUGUUCCCUCUUAAUAGCCCAAUAUCCAGCAGAGACUGUGAGAAGCAGUAAAAAUGCACCUGAACUUAAGCUUCAAAAAACUUUUCCUGGCUCCUCUUCUCUUCCAGUAUGUUGGGUACCUUCGACAGCAAGCAUUCCAGGUGGCUCCCAGUGAGCCCCACCUCCUGGUUUUCACACCCUUGUGUAGUCCCUUCCUGCUUUGUACCAGGGUUGGUCUCUGUGACCAAUACAAAAUGGCAGAAGUGAAAAUGGCAGAUCUCAUAUGCUGCUUAUGAGAUUAGGUUGUAAAAGACACUACAGCUUCCUCUUGGGGGCUUUCUUAGAUGGGCUGUCUCUUUUGCAUAUCUCUGGGGAAAAGCCGUCUUGAGCAGACCUACAGAGAAGCCCACAUGACAAGAAACUGUAGCCUCCUGCCAACAGGCAUGUCAGUGAGCUGGGAAGUAGAUUUGUCAUCUCUAGUCAAGACUCAAGUCUCUAAAAAUUGCAGAAGGCCAGGUGCGGUGGCUCACACCUGUAAUCCCAGCACUUUGGGAGGAUGAGGCUGAGGUGUGCAGAUAGCUUGAGCCCAGGAGUUCAAGACGAGUCUGGGCAACAAAGUGAGAGGGAGACCCCAUCUCUUAAAAAAAAAAAGAGAGAGAGAGAGAUUGCAGCCCACAGCUUGAUUCCAUGAAAGUUCCAUGAAAGGCCCUGAGCCAGAACUAUCCAGCUGAGCCAUUCCCAGAUUUCUGACUCUCAGAAAUGAUACGAGAUAAUAAAUGUUUGUUGCUUUAAGCUGCAAAGUUUUGAGGUAAUUUGUUUUGCAGCAAUAGAUAACUCACACUAUGCCCUUCCUUUGUGCUUCAGGCAUUCUGCCCCUCCCCUGAUAUGGCACAUACCACACUGUGUUGUAUUUACUCAUGUACUUAUCUCUCUCCUCAUCAGACUGCAAGCUCAAAAGAGAUCAUGUCUUAUUGUCUUUAUAUCCUCAUCACAUGGCACAUGCCUGAGCCAUACCAGGUGGUCAAAAAUAUUUGCUGGAUGAAUAACUUGCAUUUGUAUUGCACAUUAGAACUGACAAAGCAUUAGUGUAUUCAUCUUCUUCCAUAGUCUUCAGGCAACCCUAGAAGGUAAGUACUGAUAUCCUAUUCCCAUUUAACAGAUGAGGAAAUUGAGGCUUGUCAACUCACUUGAAUAUCUCAUAGCCAGUAAUUCAUAAAAUGAGGACUCAAACUUAAGUCACUAAGUUCCUAGUCUAUGCCCCUUCCUCUAUACCAAACUGUUUUUCAUUUAGCUUGGUGAAGGUAGGGGUGGGAGAAAAACUAAUCUGAAGAAUGAGGUGCAGUCCAAUCAUGGAUGGAGCUCCAAAGAAAGGACAAUGGAGAAGAAAAUUACUCACUUUUGAGUAGGCCAGGCCUCUACAGGCCUUCAUACAUAUGUUCAAUGUCUUGUUUAAUGUUCUAUUAAAUGUCUUGUUUAAUGUUCUAUUAAACAAUCUAUUAACCCUAAAAUAGAUUGGUAACUUUUAUUCCUCCUUCACAGACGAGAAAACCAAAGUAUGGUUUCACAUCUGUUAAAUAAUAGAGCUGGAACUCAAGCAAAUGUAUUCAGACUUCUAGUCCAAGUAACUUUUUCUAAAACCCAAACUGCUUCUCCUUUUCACAGUACUGGACAGCUGGAUUUGGGCUCCAGAUCUAAUCCCUGAUUCCAGCAGGAAAACACAUGCAAAAUAUCAUGGAGUCUCAGACAAUGAGCAGACUCUGUCUUAUGUAAGGAUUCUACCUGGGGCUAUGUCCUAUCUUCUCCUGUGCUGAGCUCCAGUCACUGUUUCUCCAGCCUAAGGUCAAAGGUUUCACAAUAUCUCUUUUAUUAAUGAAAAACAAAAAGUGCAGUUGUGCUUAGAGUCAGUUUCAGUUUAUACAUCUUUACAAGAGGAAAAUAAUUGCCAUGAUGAUUAAAUGAGAAAAAAAGGUGUAUGUAAGAUGGCUGGUACAUAAUAGGUAUUCACAAGCAUGUAAAUACACUUCUCCUGGCUCUCGCCUAUAUGCCUAUGGGACAUUUUUCAGGACAAGAGCACACAUCCUUUUGUGAGCCUCUGUUCUCCACAUAAACUGAAGUGUUAGCAGCAACCAUGGAAAAUAGAGGAAGAGGAAACUUCUGAGGGCUCUGUGCACAGUUUCCAGCCUGAAGGGAGCUCUGCAGUGGGAUUUCUGCUUUAAGUCAGCUGCACAGGGGCCUGGAAGGCUUCUACCCUUGGGGGGAAAGUAUGCCGAGGAGCUGAAGAACAUCUUUCAAGAAGAAGCCCCAGCUGUUACGUGGGCAGUAGUAGAGAGUGGCUGGGGGGCUGCCUGAGGCCAUGCUUGGUUGGGUAAACUUGGUCUGUUCACUUCCAUCCAAGAGACCUUUCACUUUGAGGGCUCAAUGAUUAGAAAAACAUCCCAGAAGCCAAUAAUUUCUCAUUCUCCAGAGAGCCAGGAAGCAUUUUCUGGGCUAGAUAUCAGGACAAACCCAUGAAUUGUGAGAGGUUCUCUCUGCUGAGAGCUCCCUCUGAUCCCAGGAAAUGGAGUGCUGGUUCCAUGUGCUAGAAGACACAGCUUCCUGCCAGAAAGAGGAUCUGGGCCUCAUCUCCAUGUGUGCCAGCAUUCAGAUGCGGCUGUCUGGGCUUUCAUGGAUGAGUCAUGGCAAUGGCCAGACCUCAGCUGCAAGUUGGGGUGAGCCUGACUCUCACAGUCCUAGUCAAAGCAGUUCAGAGCAAUUAAACAAUCAAAUGGGAACCUACUAGGUGCAGGCCUUUGGGGAAGGAGAGCUAUUGUGGAAAGGUCAUGAGUUUUGAAGUUUUGAAAGAAAGGGGCUUCAAUGUAAAUAUUAGCUUUACCACCUACUAAGUAUAACUUGGGAAAGAUACUUAGCUUCUUUAGACCUCAGUUUCUUUAUCUUUAAAGUAAUGGCGGUAGUAAUAUUUAAUUAAUUAAUUAGUUUUGAGAUAGGGCCUUGCUCUGUUACCGAGGCUGGAGUGCAGUGGCAUGAUCACAGCUCACUGGAGCCUCCACCUCCCUGGCUCAAGCAAUCCUCCCUCAUCAGCCUCCUGAGCAGCUGGGGCUACAGGGGUAUACCACCGUGCCAGGCUAAUUUAAAAAAUUUUUUUGUAGAGACUUGGUUUCACUAUGUUACCCAGGCUGGUCUCGAACUCCUGGGGUCAAGCGAUCCUCUCACUGUGGCCUCCCAAAGUGCUGGGAUUACAGGCAUGAGCCACUGUGCCCAGCCAGUAAAUAGCAGUAAUAGUAAUGGUAAUGUGGGCUUUGCAGGGCUGAGAUAAGAAUUAAGUGUUGUUACCAAAUAUGAAGGGGACAGAAUAAUGCCUACUGUCUGAUCAAGGCUCACAAAGCCCAAUCUUAGAAUUAGAUUUUAUAUAUAGAGAGAGAAGUGAAUAACAGUCACAGUUAGGGAGACAGUUCAGGUAAAAUUCAAUAUAACUCAUUUGAUUUUAUUCAAACAGCAUAUAUUGUAGAACCUUCUCAGUGCUGGCAACUAAUAAUGGCCCCUGGCCUAGAGGAACUCAAGAGUUUUGCAACUGAGAUAGAUGGAUGAGUAAGCAAAUUUCCAUCAGGGUUAUAAGGGAUCUGACAUAAACAAGAGAAAAUUCUAUGGGAGCAGAGUGGAGGAGGUGCUCACACUCACUGAAGGAGUUAGAAGAGGCCUUGUUGAGAAAGCAACUUCUAGGGCUCCACUGUCUGGGUCUUAAAAGAUGAACAAAUAGGAGCUCGCCAGGUGGAAUGACUGUGGAAAGUUGUUGUUAUUGAUGCUUUUUUUAGACAGAGUCUUGCUCUGUCACCUAGGCUGGAGUGCAGUGGUACAAUCUCAGCUCACUGCAACCUCCACCUCCUGGGCUCAAGCGAUUCUCCUGCUUCAGCCUCCCAAGUAGCUGGGACUCCAAGUGCCCACCACCAUGCCUGGCCAAUUUUUGCACUUUUAAAAGAGAUGGGGUUUCACCAUGUUGGCCAGGCUGGUCUCAAACUCCUGACCUCAACUGAUCUGCCUGCCUCGGCCUCCCGAAGUGCUGGGAUUACAGGUGUGAACUACCGCGCCAGGCCAAAAGUUGUUCUGAUAUCAGAGCCCAUGUGUAGAAGAAACACAAAGACAUGAAAGAGCUUGGUUAGAGGAAUGGGGCCAUGGAGUAAUGGAUAUAAGGAACUUGACAAAGGAUGACCAGUCUCAAAGGAUGACCUUGCUUGACUGCAGAGAAGCUGGACUUUGCUCUGGAGGCAACAAGGAGAUUUUAAAGCAAAUAACCAAGAUGAUUAAUUUAUUUUCAAGAAAAAUAACUGGGUGGAGGAUGGGUGCAAAGGGGAAAGACAGGAGGCCAGAGAGUGGAAGCCUAAGGAGAUAAGAAGCUCAUCUAGGUUACAUAAUCGGGAAGUUGAAGUGGGAUGGAUCAGGAAGAGAAGCUAGACCUCUUGGCUCCUAGUUUGAGCCUUUUCAUUAGAUUGGUCCCCAUUCCACAACUUUGAAACCUGCUUACUAAGCAAACCCUGAUCUAAAAUUACAGUGCUUCUGUGAACAGGAACAUAAAGCAACAAAAUUGCAAGUAGGUUUGAAUUGGACUAAAGCACCUGUUUUUUUAAUCCAUGGUUUGCCACAGCUUUAAAAUAUAUUUAGCAUUUUUCUUGGUACUCACCCUCUAAGGUCUGUCUUACAAGGCGAAUGCAAACUCUUACUGAUUUGGGUCAGUCAUCCAUCCGUCCAUUCAAUCCAUCUGUCUAUCUAUAUGUCAGUCCACCUACAGACAUGUAUUGGCAGCUACUAUGUACUUAGUCUUUGGUUAAGUCCUGGGAAUAUUGAGAUGAAAGGCAGUUUCUGCCCUCAGAGAGCUCACAGCCUAGUGGGGAGGGAGACAGAAAACUAAAUAGACAGGGACAAUCCAAUGCAAUGAGUGCUGAUCCACGGAGAAGGAUGUGCUUAUUGCUAUGGGAGCUCAGAGCAGGGAUACCCAACAGUCUGAGCCAUCAGGAAAGGAGGGGACACUUGUGCCAAGCUUUGAAGGGCAAAGAAGAGGGCACAGAUGUAUUCUAAGUAAGAGGAAGAGCAUAUGCUCUUUGGGGGUACAGUGCAGUGGUGGGAGUGAUUAUAAUUUGGGAACCCAGCAAUCUUCCUAGUCCUGAAGCCAAACACAUGCUUUGCCUGUUUUAAUUACACAAACCACAUUAAUUCAGAUCUUAAUUUAUGGCUUCCCUCUGGUAUACAAGGCUGCAAGCCAGUGCCCACUUUCUCCAAAUCACCAAAUAGGUAACAUUUGUUUGGCAUUUUCUGACCAUCUUCUUUUAGUGCCUGUCUCAGGACACCACCCAUUUUUGGCUCCAGUGCCUUAAGUUGGUCCUCCAGCAACCGAGAGCCCGCUUUAGCCCCAGAUGGGCAGUGGCCCAGGUUUCCAGUCUUUGUCUGUUCUCGCUCACUUUCCUAUCAAGUCUUAGCUUGUGGGUCAAAUUCUGCCCAGCUUACUCUGUGAAACUGGAAGGCUAUUGUUCAUUCUACUUUCUUAAUUACCACUAGCCAACUUAAAACAUUCACCCUGUCAGAGAUAUCCACACUCAACAUUGUCUUUGCUCAUGUACUUGUCCCCUGUGAGGACCAUGUUUCCACUAUGCACACUUUCUCCUUGUGAUUUUCUAUGAGACCCCUUCUCUGGGUCACCUCCUAUACUGGCAGCCCCAUAGGUACAGCUCUAUCAUGAUAAUCAUCAAACACAGAAUUUUAGCUAUCUGCCUAUUUCAAUCUUCCCCCCAGACAAAAAGUUCUGUGUCCUAUUCGUUUUUCUCUUCCUAGUUCCUGCACAUAGUGGCACUACUAAACAUUUGAAGAAUGAAGGAAUUAGUAAAGGAAUGGACAAAAGUCUGUGGAAUAAACUCCUGCCAAUGGAACACUACUCUAGAAGUAGGAACACCAAACACAAGAAGCAGGUUGGACCUAGGUGAUACCAUUCAGGACAUAGGCACGGGCAAAUAUUUCAUGACAAAGAUGCGAAGAGCAAUUGCAACAAAAGCAAAAAUUGACAAAUGGGAUCUAAUUAAACUAAAGAGCUUCUGCACAGCAAAAGAAGCUAUCAACAGAGUAAACAGACCACUUAUAGAAGGGGAGAAAAGUAUUGCAAACUAUGCAUUUGACAAAGGUCUAAUAUCCAGCAUCUAUAAGUAACAAAUUUACAAGAAGAGAAAAACCCCGUUAAAAAAGUGGGCAAAGGACAGACACUUUUCAAAAGAAGACAUACAUGCGGCCAACAAUGAUAUGAAUAAAAGCUCAACAUCACUGAUCAUUAGAGAAAUGCAAAUCAAACCACAAUGAGAUACCAUCUCACACCAGUCAGAAUGGCUGUUACUAAAAAGUAAAAAAAUAAGAUGUUGGCAGGGUUGUGGAGAAAAAGGAACACUUAUACACUGUUAGUGGGAGUGUAAAUUAGUUCAACCAUUGUGGAAGACAGUGUGGCAAUUCCUCCAAGUCCUAAAGGCAGAAAUACCAUUUGAUCCAGCAAUUCCAUUACUGGCUAUAUACCCAAAGGAAUAUAAAUUGUCCUAUUAUAAAGACGCAUGCACACAUAUGUUAAUUACAACACUAUUCACAAUAGCAAAGAUGUGGAAUCAACCUACAUGCUCAUCAAUGAUAGAUUGGAUAAAAAAAUGUGGUACAUACACACCAUGGAAUACUAUGCAGCCAUGAAAAAGAGUGAGAUCAUGUCCUUUGCAGUGACAUGGAUGGAGCUGGAGGCCAUUGUCCUUAGCAAACUAAUGCAGGAACAGAAAGCCAAAUAUGGCAUGUUCUCAUUUAUAAGUGGGAGCUAAAUGAUGAGAACACAUGGACACAUAGAGGAAACAACACACCCUGGGGCCUACUAGAAGGUGGAGGGUGGGAGGAGGGAAAGGAUAAGGAAAAAUAACUAAUGGAACUAAUGGGUACUAGGUUUAAUACCUGGGUGAUGAAAUAAUCUGUACAACAAACCCCCAUUACACAAGUUUACCUGUGUAACAAACCUGCAUGUGUACCCCUGAACUUAAAAGUUCUUUUUCAAAAAGGAAGAAGGUUGGAGAAUCAACUUUUGAGACUUCUGGCACCCCUCUAUGCCAUAGGCUUGUACCUACUUGUGUCUUAGGUUAGUUAUAAAAAAAGACAUGCUGCUUUGAGAGCAGGGGGAAGAUAGCAUCUUAUACCUUAAUUUAUUUAAGCUCUGUUUGGCCUAAUUUCUCCAGGCCCAUUUCUGUGGACCUGUGCUACUUUGUGUGGCUCUUAUUCAUGAACUACGUACUAUUAAUGACACACCAGGAGCUGAUAUUCUACUUGACCUGAAUUGUGCUUUAACAUUAAUGCUGUGAAAUUCACUGAAGAGAAGAAUUAAACUGAAGUUAAUACUCAGUUAAAAAAAAAAAAAAGACUAGUCCCUGAUUUAUUAUUAGAAAAAUCCUGGCCUUUGUUCUAAUUUUAUUUUAUUUUUAUGUUAAGAUCCCAAAAUAAGCUGGGCAUAGUAGCAAAUGCCUGUAAUCCCAGCUACUUGAGAAGCUGAGGCAGGAGAAUUGCUUGAGUUUAGGAGUUUGAGACAAACCUGGGCAAACUAGUGAGACCCCCAUCUCCAAAAUAUAUAUAUAUAUGUGUGUGUGUGUGUGUGUGUGUGUGUGUGUAUGUAUGUAUGUAUAUGUAUGUGUGUAUAUAUAUAUGCAUAUGUGUAUGUGUAUAUAUGUGUAUAUAUAUGUGUAUGUGUAUAUAUGUGUAUAUAUAUGUGUGUGUAUAUAUAUAUACAAAAAAGUCUGAGUAGCCACACAAAGCAUAUGUUGAGAGUCCUCAGUUGAAGCCAAAUAUAGGAAAAGCCAAACAGUGUAUAGAAAACAAACAAAUGAAUCACAGUGUUGGGUAAACUGCUAUUUGGCAUAAAUCCAUGAACACAGGCCAAAAAAGUGUCUCUGCAAAGAUGUAAGACAUAGCUGUAGAAAAUAUCUCAGAAAUAGAUCUGAAUUUGACCUGAAAACUUGACUCUGAUGGAACUUUGGACAAAUACAUAAUAUUUUCCACUAAUACAUGUUUGUCCACCAAUUUGUUCAUGGAUCACGGGUGAGGCUGCUCUCUGCGGUGUGAACUGCUCCAUGGUGGCUUUGGUUGUUGUGCAUGGCCAGCCAGAGCCAGACUAACCCACAGUCAUGGGAAGCAAAGAUAAUACAAUUUGGCAGCUUGGAGCAGUGGAAUGGGCCCUGGACUGGGAGUCGGGAGCCCUGGGCCAGAGUCCAGGCUCUACUGUUAAAUAACCGUACAGCACAUGUAACAUUCUUUAAAAAUGUCUGUCCUUACCACAUGCAUUAACAUGCAACUAACUAUAGACUGUUUAAUCUAAUGUCCAAUUUGACAUUUAAUUACAAUAAGUCUGUUUAAUUCAUGGAAUCACUAAUUUCAUGUAAAGGCACCUUGUGGAUAUGAAAAGGGGGAAAGCAUUUGGCCUUAAGUUUUCUGAAAUCUGUCAAAUAAUUAAUUUUGUGUGUUGACUAUAUUCUAGGCAAAAAGGAGCUUCAAAAAAUGGACGGGCUUGGCCAGUCAUAAUGGCUCAUGCCUGUAAUCCCAACACUUUGGGAGGCUGAGGUGGGUAGAUCACUUGAGGUCAGGAGUUCAAGAACAGCCUGACCAACAUGGUGAAACCCCGUCUGUGCUAAAAACACACAAAAAAUUAGCCGGGUGUGGUGGUGCAUGCCUGUAAUCCUAGCUACUUGGUAGCCUGAGGCAGGAGAAUUGCUUGA